UUUCCACACUGAGUGGAGUCAAAACCGUGAGGAUAUUUCACGGACCAUGUACAAAGGCCUUGAACACGCGGUAGGCCUACCGGUACGACUUCAGUCAUAAUGUCGAGUCGAGACAUUUUAACUAGAGUUGUAAAACCAUUCCACAAACAGAGAAACCGUGUCAAAUCUUCUGUGUAUAAAUAGUGAGGGACUAUCACAGCCCAGAUGAAGAUAAACCAUUAAAUACCGCCGGAUAAGUCCAAAACCACUGAUUCUUGGCUAGCCUACCUGCAGCAGUGGAGCUAGCUUUCUCAUACAAGAGGCCUGGCCAAUAAAACUGUUGAGUUUCUUUCACUUACGAGGCUCGUGGUUAAAGUUUUUCAUAACAGAAGUUUCUCUGUCAUUUCUACAGAUGCACAGACCCACUGAAUUAUUGUGAGUUCUCCACGUUGAGACCACAAUGAAGCUGAAGAAGCUGAGGGCCUGUCUAAUGGAGUUGACCUGGUUGCUGCAGUCUCCAUUGCGGCCUAUCAAUUACACAAAGUUUACAGGUGAGGCAUUUCAUUUGUUUUUAUUCUUCUAUGUUGGCAUAGUUCAUUCUUCACAUCUUGAUGAUAAGAUGUACUGCUGCAUGCUAACUCAUGGAGUUAGUCUUAGCUGUUUCUUUACCCAUUAGUCUGUAUGUUUGUAGUCUGUAUUGUAUGGAAUUGCCCCCUGUGGGACUAAUAAAGAAACAUCUUACUUCUAUCUAAACCGUUCUACUAGAGAAAUUUUUUCAUGAGAUUCCUAACAAAUGAAUUUCCCUUUGACACUGUGUAGUUGUCCAUCAAAUGUAAUGAAUGGGUUGUACAGUUUAGACAUAAAUGUGUAUAUAUUUUAAAGAAAAAGCGGAAUCCACUGAUUUAACAAUCCAGAAAAUGUGUUUCAGUAAGUGUGGUAGUAGACACAAAACCCCCCGAUAUAGGUUGUGUGAUGGGUAGCUAGUCUUUUAAAGAAGUUACCUAGAAAGACAGAAUUUUCUGGUAUUUUGUGCCUAAUGAUUAUAGGACUCGCUCAGUACGAUUUGCUUUAUAGAUCUGAAAGGCAUGUGGGUCUGAAAAACCUUCGUUGAAUGGCUUUACAUUGCAACAUUGCCAAUAACCAGCUUCAUCCUGUUUGAUAUAGUUGAAGGAAAAACAGGACUACACCAUAUAGAGAACUGUUUCAACUUACUCUGUAUGCAACACCAUGCAAACUUGGAAACUUUUAUAUAACAGUGGUCUGUGCACAACUUGUAAAGCGCCUACCUAAAAAGUGUAUAACAUGGUUCUGUAAUUUAGUACGGACUAGGUGAUAUGAUGGCAUCAAUGUGAAUGCAAGGCUGUUCAUGUGGAAGUUUAUAUGUAGCCACACGAGGGCAGCAGAGAACUUUAUCAAUAUCAGAAUCAGAUAGGUGCUGGGGUAUAUGAAAAUUGAAGUAUUUGCAAGGUUGCAAUUUGAAAUACAGUCCUUAUUGCCAUUUAUCUAGCUCUCUAAACCUCUAUGAAUUCAGUAUCUGUUCACUUCCAGUCUAGUUGAUGAACUACAUUCUAUGGGACCCCACAUGCUUUAGUUUUGUCAUAUUAAAAAAAAAAGAAAAAUGUAGGUUAUGUUACUAGAUGAUGUAAAACUACACAUCAACCAGUUCAUUAUCACCUGUACUUAUGGUUUUAGUACUGAACUUAAUAUCUGUUUUGGAGAAAUCAAGACAUUUUGGGGGGAUUUAAAUGUUCAGUGUCAAAUUAAAGCUGCUAAAAAUUGCCCAUCCUCAUUUUUGAUGAUACGUGUUUUUGUUAAAAGUACACAAUUGUCAUGAGAGUGAGAUAAUCUCUUUAAGGAGUACUGAUUGGGCUAAAAAAUUAAAAUAGGAAGCCUUGUGGUUUUCCCAGUGUGCACUUGUGAACUUGUCUACACUGAUGCCCAGGCACUGGACUGUCCAGAAAUUUCAGCAGGGCCCCCCAGCUACUUCCCUCCAAAGGCUCCAGGCAGGAUAAUCAGGCUAACCGUCACAUAAUGCAGAACAUAGGAACAGUAAAGAGAGAUUUAUGGCGGGUGUGUCAGUGAUGGUGUGAUGGACAGAGCAGGGAGGUCGAUUAGAGAGCAUGUGUAAUAGAGUUAUAAAGAGCAGACAUCAUGUGAUUGAAUGGCGAGCUCAGAGGAGGUAGCAAGUGUCGCAGACCCAGGUGGCUUUCGUUGUCACGGUGACUUAGAGCAGGGUUGCCGUGGAGAUGAUGAUGAAAGACAACAGUCUUGUGAACUGCACUUUGGGGCUGGAGCGUGACCAACAACUUGCAGCGAAAUGUGCCCAAGGGGACGUAGAUGGUUGUGUUUGGGGUCAGCGCAAUGUUAUGUUUGUUCAGUGUCUUUAUUCGGCCUGUAUUCAGUGUGACACCCAGGCAUUGUACCAAGUGUUCGUGAAAUGAGUGGCAGUUUAGCACCAAGGUGGUGGUCCCUCUUCAGCAGCCUUGAGAAACUUUUAACACUUCAGCUACAAACAUAUCUCAUUACUGGAACACCACGCAGUCCUCAGUACAGUCAGUGCCACUCAAAAGUGUGUGUGUCAGUGUGUGUCUGUGUGUGUGUGUAAAGCCAGAGCACUGACUGUAUAAGAGCGCACCUGGAUCUUGUUAGGAGAGAGGGACACGGUAGCUACACACUUUAAUUUCCCUCAGUCUCAGUGCCUCACAGAACCCAAACAUAGCAGCUUGAAAAAGUACGUGACGAGCCAGGUUUAAAGUAAAACCACCAGAUAAAGCAAUCAGCAGAACUCAUAUCACCCUUGAAUAAAACAUGUCCUAAAAUAACCAAGGCAAAACAAGGAUCAAUGAAACAGCUAAUUGUAGUUACAUUUGUUCAUCUUUGCUUACAGUGUUUCCCACCUUUACUGCAGCUCCUUUUUCUUUCCUAUAGAGGGCAGUGUGGAUGCUGCUAGGUUCGAAAGUGUUCAGUAAAUAAAAUUUGCAGGUGCAUUCCAUGAGGCCAUGGGUUAUUUAAGAUGAUUAGAACCAGUUCCCUGGAUACCAUAAAAAGAAACACCCCACAUAUUCAAUAUAAACAGGAUUUAGCUGGUAUUAGUAGGGUUUUAUUGUUCACACUAACAAUUAAAGAGGCUCGGCAUGCAGGCUUGGAGUGAGCUCAGUCUCCUUACCCUUUGUGGCCUUGAACUAACUGUGGCGCAUGUUUCCCCUUGUGUUUGUAUUCUGUAAAAAAUUCCUUAAUUUGACACAUAUUGCUGAGUUUACAGCAUCGUGGAAGGGUACAAACCACAGUUUUGUUGUACAGUUAUGGAUUUGGCAUCACAUUUGCUUCCCCCCACAUAAACGAUAUGCAGUAUGGUGUGCAAGAACCAGUGGGGAUCUUAUUUGAUUGGAAAGUGCCAGAUAUCAGAGAAACACUUCAAUAAGGCUUUAUGAAUUCAACUCCAGGCCUGUUGCAGGGGAUCUGGCUAUUUUCAAGGAGGUGAAUUGUGACAGUUGAUGGAUUGUGUAAGCUAUUUGUGCUAAUACUAAAAUCCGAUGUGUUUAAUCCUUUGAACAAUGAAUGAAUGAAAAUGUGCCUGAAACUGGGGUGAAACCCCAGGCAUACCAGAUUUGAGGUGUCCAGGGUCUCAUUGAGUUUUUGGCAGCAGCCUGCUGUAUAAUCUCAGACGCCUAGCACACUUUGAGUGGGGCCUUUUUAAAAUGGGAUUUCCAAAAACCAAGUAUUUAACCCUUUUAAAGAGGCUUGGCAUUGUUUUUAUGAAAACAUAUGAAAGUGGGGGAAGGAAUAUGAACAGGGAGAAUAACAUGGAAAUGAUUACCUGGGUGUUUGUUAAGUAUGUGUGCUUGAGCGUUCGUACGUUUAGAGUAUAUAUGCAUGAGUGUGUGAGGUUAGAGUCCUGGGGUUUGGUAUUUUGGUUGGAGAAGGGCCAUCAUGAUUACCACAGAGGUGCAGUAUUCUCGUCCCUACAGAAUCCAAUUUUAACCCUCACUUCAGCUUCCCAUGUCUGAACACACCACCACUACACUCACUGUUGUGCAACCGAACGCAUGCAGACAUCUGUUUGGAAUUUUGGCUUCAAAUGAGAAAUGGUAGUCACUGUAUGAUAUGUUGAUAUUUAUUUGUUUCACACUUCUCUUGGCUUGCAUCAAAGAUGUACCUUACAAUAAAAGAAGUGAUAAGCUGCAAAAUUGGAGGAAUGGAUGAAAAAGUUACACGAAGAAUGGAAGAAGAGAAGCAAAAUAAGACAAGGGAAGUUUAAUGGAAGUUGGAGUGUGUGUGGAUGUGCAUGCAGAGACCCGGAGAGGUGCACCGCUGUGCAGGGAGACAUUGAACCGCUGCUGGUUUGAAGAAGUCUUUCAUUACCUCAGCCCUGUCCAGCUGGUUCCAACUGACCCCCUUACGCUCCCUGUCUGUCUGAGCUGUCUGUCUUCUGUGCAUCUGGGCAGGUCUUUAGGUAAGACAGGGACUCAGUGAGAUGUGUGUUCUUCUGGAGGUAGAAAGUAAAAAAAAACAGCUCGAGGGGCUUGUGCAGCACAGCAGCACUACGGAGGAUUAUAAUUAAUGCUGCACACAAUAAUGCACUUGACUUUUAAGACUAAUGCACACACACUAACACCAUUUGGGGAGGGUGAAGGUGCUCUGGAGCUGGAUGGAGGGUCAUUUUAAGUCGAGGUGCACAGGGCUGGACCUCGCCCCAGGGAUGGAGUGGGGAGGGAGGUAAGGGGGGAAAAGGAGGAAAUAGGCAAACUAAAAACACAUGCAAGGUCAAGUGUAGUCCUUCAUCUAACAUAUAAUGGAAAGGCAAGCUAAGAACAAGCCAUGUUGCUGGAAGAGUGGAGUUUUUUUAUUCUUUUGCCUGUUUUAUGAAUGUUUUAUGCAUGAUGAUCUGUUUGUGUGUCAGUUUUGUCCGAAAGGUGAAAGAAAAUACUGGAUCUGAUAAUCAGUUAGUGUUAACUUCUGCUAUAUAAGUGUAACAGUCAGGUUAUUUCAGAAAAACACUGCCUUUCUUUUUCGUUUUUAGUCUCUCUGAGAUCUUGAAAUGUACCAGUGCAGAGGAUUUGUCACAACUGGAUUGCUGUGACUCUUUGUUUCAAUUUCGGCUAUACCUUCCCUGUCCAAUUUACUGUCCCUGCGAUCACUUUCAGAGCACUGUGUGGUGGGCUACCAUCUGUAUUUGUGGCUUAUACAGCUCUAACCUCCACUAUGUUUGCACCUGAAACUUAAAAAGAUCUGGCAUUUAAAGCAAGACAAAAAAAUUAGAAAAAAUAUGAGAAAUAUGUCAAACGACAGCUUUUUCUUUCAUUUGGUUGGUGGUCUCUAUCAGGCCUACUUUCUUUUAGCCUUAAAAAACUAGAAAGAAGACUCACACAGACUUAAAUAACUCACUUUAAGGGGCAGCUGUGGGUCAGUGGUGGAGACGAUUGUCUCCCAAUUGCAAGGUCAGGGGUUGGAACCAGGUCUUGCUGCCCACAUGCCAUGGUCUCCAUGAGCAAGACACUUUAUCCCAGCCGCCUCUGCUGGCUAUACCUAGUAGUGGGUGAAUGGAAUUAGCUAGUGUUGAUGAAUGUGGUGUGAAUGUGUAUAUGUGACUUGUCAUGUAAAAGCUGUAUAAACAUCGUUCAUUUACUCUUACUUUCAUAGUACUUUGAAAUGGGAUGGACCGGCUACCAGUUUGACGGUAUGCCAAGCCGAGGUUGGGGAAAAAAAUUAAGGUGUCAAAACCACCAGUAGUCAUCUCCAUACUGUUCCUACAGUGAGAUAUCGAUCAGCCUCUAGGAGGAACUGCAAGUUUUAGGGGCUUCUGUUCAAGCCAGGGCAAAAUGAUGGAGGACUUCAGGUCAAGACUUAAUUUUAUGUGAUUUUUACCAUCUAACACAUGCCAUCUAACUAAAAACUCAGAAGCCAGGAUAGUGCUGAAGAAUACUGUCAGAAGUAUAUUUUUUCUGCUACUCUUGCGUGUAGAUUUCACUCAAUGCCUAAAAAAUUGGUUCUGGGAUCAGAUCUGAGUAAUUCUCUGCAUAGACCUGCUGAAUUUUGCGGCACAAUGUUGUUGGUUCGACUCCUGGCAAAGACCUUUUGCUGCAUAUUUUCCCUCUCUUCCUACUCGCCACAUUUCUUCAGCUGCCCCAUCAAUGUAGCUAAAUGAUGCCCCAAAACCUGAUCAGUAAACAUUAACAAAAAAAAAAAAAAACACACAAAAAACUUACACCAAAACAGCUGUUAAAAUGUAGAUGCUAUGGAUAUGGCUCUGAUCUGCCUUUACUGGAUUUAACAGAAAGACAUUUAGCAUGUGGUCAUUAGAGAUGAACCAACAAAGACUGGAGGAGCAUAAUGGCCUCCACACGGGUUCUCACUUGAACCACAAGGCCAGAGGAACCCCAUAUUGACGGUUUAACUUUAACUGACACUUUCUAGGGACACAGGGUGUAAAACAUCUACCGUGCUGGUGUACUUUAUGAGCUUGUGUGUACGUUACAGUGUUGUUUUGACUGAAUGUGUGUUUCCUUUUGUUGCACCUGACACCCCAGAUGGUACUGUCAAGCUGCCCAUGAUUCAAUGCACCGCCGGGCACCUUGUGCGCUGAAGCAGCUCUCACCUCUGACCUGACGGAAAAGCACAAAAGAGGUGAGUCCAGAUGAUACCACAAAGAAGUUGCAUGCUCACACACACACACACAUUUUUUUUUUAACUGAAAUGAAUGUCAAUCACAAUUCGUGUUAAUGUCAAACAGACGGGCCUUACUGUUGAUAUACAGCAGCAGAGACAGAGAUGCAGAAGAUGGGAGUGGGGGUAAAAGGCAGUUAAAGAGCUGUCCUCAUACAUCAUCCACCCAGCUGAGCACCCUCAACUCAGACACACUCUUCUCUCACACACAUAAACAGACCAGACAAGCAGUAAAUACAUUGUAGAUGUAGUGAUAAAUAUCUGCGUUAUCUGCCUGUGCAGGUGUAUUCAUAUACAUGCACAUGCAAGAGGGACAAACUGUGUUAUCUAAUGCACUUCAAUGUGCAUCUUUACAGUGACUUAAAGGAGGAAAUCUGUCAAAACAGAGGAGAUUGUCUGCGCAGUUUGCUUACUAGCUGUACUUUUCAUUGAUACCUGUCUGUUUCUGGUGUCUGUGAUGGAUUUCCCCUUAUUCCUGUCUCUCAAAUGUCUUCUUUUCUGCUAAGUAUAUUACCUUGGACCUUUAUAGCACACCCCCUCUCCCUCUCUGUCUCUCCUCCUCAAUAAUAGAACUCGGUUUAUAAGGCUCGGCAGACCUGGCUAAUCUAACCCACAUGCCAAUAGUGCUGUGCCCGUUCUCUCUCCCACUUUAAUGAAGCUAACACAGACUCUGAAACUGCAGUAUGCUUGUGUGUGUCCAUGUGUGAGUUGGAACACCAGACCUGGCAAAAAAAAUAACCUUACAACUCAGUCUGGACCAGUGAUGAGACGCAGCAGGGAAGAGAAGAAGAAAGUCGAGUUUCUCACUUUUAAAUCAGUUAUGAUUUGUACACACUUUUACAUACAAACGCAUAAACACAAGCUGAUCCACACACAGAUGUCUCAGCUAAUUGAUUGCGAGUGUGCGGCUCGUAGAGUCAUUGCCCGUGAUUGGCUCUAAGUGUGUGGUUUGUUUGUGGCUGACACUAAUAGACCACACAGCAGUGCUUCCCUCCCUCCCCCCCUCCCCACCCACACAGACUUAAUUCAAUCAAGAAUCAAAUCAGAUGCAACUGUUGCCCUGAUUUUAUACAGCCAUGAGAAAAAUUGUUUGAAGCUGCUAUCAGAUGGAGCCGGGGGCGUGUCCUGAGUGUUUUUGACUGGGUUGGCCAAACUGUGGCACUGAUAAAGGAAGGGGUGGACACACAAAAAUGGCAUUCAGCCUGUCUGAUUUCACUAUCUACUUUAUUGAUUAUCAUUUAGGAGUUAAACAAGUUAUUUUUGAGGUUUUUUUUUUUUUUUACUGCACGAAGAAAGACAGCAGGGUCCGUAACAUCAGGAAAAAAACAGGGAAAACCAAUAGUUGGUUUCAACAGUAUUCUUGGGAUGGCUAGUUGGAGUACAAGGGGGCUGGUACCAAAACUUUUCUUUUGGGUGUUAACAACCAAUAAAAUAAUGAUAAUAAUACUAUUACUACUACUACUACUUCUACUAAUAAUAGUAACAACACUAGUGAUAAUAGCAAUAAUACUACUACUAAUAAUAAUACUAAUAAUAAUAACAAAAAUAAAAAUAAUGAUAAAAUAACAACAAAAAUGAUAAUAAUAAUGAUAAUAAUAAAAAUACUACUACUACUACUACUGCUAUACUACUUAAAAUAGUAAUAAUAAUAUACCCAUGUAUUUAGUGUCACACAGCUGCUUUUAUGCUGAGGUGUUCUAUUUAGGAUUAUUUUAUGCUGGUUUAGACUGUAUUCUAUUUACGGAGAUCCAGUGUAAAGACAGGAUAAGAUUGAGCCCUGUUUUAUAAACUCAGACCCACUCUGGUCCCAUCUUCAACUACAUGAGUGUAGCUCUUAGCAGCAUCUCGCAUUUAGUCAGAGUUGCACAUAAGAACUUCCUUAUACCAGGCAGAAACCUUGAGCGGAACCAGACACAUGUAAGACAGUCACCUGCCUUUAGUGCAAUGGGUUUAGAGAGGGGAUAGAGGGAGAUGCAAACAGAGGUGAGGUUGAUGCAUGUAGUUGAAACAGCUGGAGAGUCCACAGCUUCAAAAUGUCUGCAGCAGUGAUCCAGAGGAACCUGCAGCAUGGUGGAGCUCAGGGACUCCCAGAAAAGACUGUGUAUUAGUGAUUCUAAUGGGACAUGAUGAUUUAAAGUUUUUUUGCACCUGCAUUUUAAGAGUGUUUUAGAAGAAGACAGGCGACUGCAUCUGUUUUUUGUGGGGGGGAUCAUGCCCUACUUUUGAAACCAAAAGAAACAUUUUUCCAAGUUCAGCCACAGAAAUCGUCAUUGUUAACCCAGCUGUGCUUAUAAAAAUAGAAAAAGGUAUCCAUGCACAUUAAUCUUAAAGAUUACAUUUCAGAGCAUUUCCACAAACUGCCAUGAGAUCAGGACUGUAUAAAUGUGCACAAGCUUUUUGCCGAUCGAAGCUGGAAGUGUCUGAGUGACUGUGUGCCCGCUGCUCACCAGAAUAACACAUGCUGUGGCGUAAUGCUGGAAAUGUCUGUCAGUGAGUGUGUGAGUGUGCUGACUGAUUGAGAGUGUGUGAGAGUGUCUAAUAUCGGCCGUGUCAUCUCACACGUUCAGGGUACCCAGCACGCCACCUCAAGAUCCAGGAAAGACUGCAGGAAACUAGGAUGGGGAUGUCCCUGUGUACGUGUGCGUGUGUGAACUGAAGAGUGAGAAUUUUUUUAUAAGUUUGAUGAGAGAAGUGGGGGAAAAGGGUGGAGACUCCUUCGAGAUUUCUUUGGCACUUAAUCUGAGCGUCUUGAAUCUCUGUUAGUUCUGUGCUGAUGUCUGUGCAGGCAGCUUGUGUAUGUAUGUGUGUGUGUGUGAGACAACUGCUGCAUGUGUUCGGUCCACAGUUGGUGAGACAUCCUGUGGGGCUUGGCAACACAGUAGGAGGCAGCUUACCCUUUUGACUUUGCUGUGUGUGUAUUUGAGCGCAUAUCUGCGAAUGUGUAUCUGUGCGCACAUGCGUGUGCUGACAGGAUUUACUAUUCGUCAGUCCAUCCUGUCAUCACCUCGUAACUCUGGGACCGGCUGGGAUCCUGAAAAGAGGCAGCUAACGGCCCAAAAGUUGAGUCUUGAGUUCUGCAACAUUUGGUUGUAAGAAUUCUCUUGAGCAAAUACGUUUCGCUUAAAUAGCACAAAAUUAAAUUAAACAAAGUAGAAACCCAAAUGGUUACACUGUACUCAAUCGAGUAAGGCUUAGGAUGUACCUGAAAAAGCUUCAUUAUCUUUUCAACCAACGCCUCAAAAAAUCUUCUGCAAACAAAUCCGUGAAGAAAAUGGUCCUUGAAUAUGCCUCAGUGUUUUGUGUGCUUUUGGAGAAUUCAAAAUACAGAGGCCCAGAGUCCAUGGAGAAAUGCUUAAAAAAAGGUACUGACCUUGCCCCUGCUAUUCUGACAGGGAAAUCUCUUCUUUUGCAGCUGCAGUGACGCAAUAAAAAUGUGAUUCUCAGGGCCAAUAUAGUCUUUUAGCUUGUCUUCAAAAAUUCACCCACGUUGCUGUCCUCCAUACUGACUCUUGACCCUGUCAUAUUCCCACAGUGUCCCUUUUGUGUCUGAGGAUAUACUCAACAAAUUAGGGCUGGGCGAUAUGGGAAAAAGUUUACCAUGAUAUACUUUUUUCAUAUCAGUCUUUAUCGAUAUAUAUCAUGAUAUUAAAAAUGAAAUUUAACAGUGCUUAUUGGUAGCAUGUCUUUUGCAAUUCAAUAAGCAACUGCAUCUGUGAGGUCUUUGUGUCUCCUCCAUAUUUUGUCGUGAGGCAUUGCAGUAGAGAAAGCGGGCUGAAUGGUCGGCUGCACAGGCGCAAUGGGCUACCUCCUCCGCUCGGGGUUUGUAAACUUUUGCAUUGCGCGUGCUCUGCCGCAUGGUACUGCUUCAGGUGGUGAAAAAGAUUUGAUGUAUUCCCCGACUUUGCGAGAACGUGUGCUCGACAUAAUUUGCAGUGCACAUGACUCUGCUUCAUGUCCGACCUCAAAAUACCUCCACACCACUGACGUUACAGUGCUAUGGUUGCAUGUAGCUGCAGCCUGCUACUAAGCAAUUGUUUGCUACUUGGUUCUUAUUCAGCACAUGACUGGUUCAGCGCAAAGUGGACCCCGAGCAUGUUUUAGAUUGAUGUUGAGGAAAUUGAUUUUUGAUAUAUAUUGUUAUCGUUUUAUCACCCAGCCCUACAACAAAUGUAAAUAAAUAGUACUAAUGAGCACUGCUUAUUACAUAUAGGCUUGAAGUUGAUGCUUAAAAUUCUCCUUUGAUCCCGGGAAUGCCCGCUCUACAAGAAGUGUAGAGGGUAUAGAAAUGGUCUCAGCCAAAGCUCAAUGAAAACUAGAACUGUUUGGAGUUUCACAAUCUUCCCUCUAUCUCACAUAGAGACGACCAAAAUAGGCACGAAAACACCAUAAAUUUCCUCAGAACAACUUGUGCACCAUUUCCCAAGUGUCUUCAAGCCAAAUGAUUGCAGUACACAUCCAACUGGCCACAGUUACUUUAAUGUGUAAUAUUAAUUUGUGCUGGGAGGAAGUUGUGUAGAGUUUCCAUUGACAUGAGAGUGUGUUGAAGAGCGAAAGUUAAUAACUAAUAUUUCUGCCCAUUAACUGCUCAUUAAAGAGAUUGUUAAAAAUGAUGAGCCUUUUCUCCUCCCUGAGAUAUGAAACUCCAGGAUGAUGCAGAUUUGUAAGCAGGCUAUACCAAUCACAGUGACUUUCCCGUCUCCUUCUCUGUCGGCUCAUUCAGUCAUGAUGUGAAUACAACAGCAGAUUAACAAAAGGGAGAGCGAGGCAGAGAGAGGGAGAGAGCGAGAGAGACAGGAUUGUCUGGAGCCUGUCAGUUAGAUAGAUAGAUAGAUAGAUGGAUGGAUGUAGAUAGAUGGACAGACAGAUAGACAGACCGACAUCAGGGGUUGUGAUGUCCCUGGAGAAGGUGAUGUAGUAUUCUAUAGUCAUUUUGGGUCUAAGCUGCAGAGAAUACCCUAAAUAUCACCAACUGCAUGAAUGCAUUACACAGAAAUUUAAAUUCAACCAUCACCUACUUAAAGGUGGGGUGGGCAGGAUUCUGUUAAAGAAGCAUCUUUUUUGUGGUGUUUAUACAAAAUAGCUUUUAAUAUCAGUCAAUAACUAUUAGUUAUUGAUGACAUUUAGGAAUAUCAUGAUAUCACUGUGUUCUGUUGUGUGUUUAGUCAACAUUUAAAAUUUUUUGAGUGGCUGACUCUUUCUGACUGUAAACAAAGCCUUUCUCCGCCUCCCCCGACCUGAUUGGUUGUAAGGCAGAUGCUGCUCCCUUGUGUUGUGCGUCCUUGAAUAAUGUUUACAAUCCCAAACAAAGUUAGCGUGCUACAAUAUCAGACUGUAGAAAACCAACAAGAAAGUACAAAAAAUUAUCUGAAUCCUCCUUCGACCAAGACCGCCAACACAAGCAAGAAAACUAAAUACUGGAGACUCUGGCGGAAUAAUAGGUGCUUGAAAUGGAGGUAGACCAGACAAGAGCUAGAAAGCCGGGUCAACAUCAAUGAAGCAUAAAUGAUAGGGGACGCUUCGGGAUCUUACAGACCCUAUAACCUUUCUACUGGACAGGUAAACCACUCUAACAAAGUAAGACAAGUGUCUCUAACAGAAGUGUUUCUUGUCAAUUGAGACCUGCCGCAUGUUGUAGCACCGCUAAACUGUUGACCUCGGGUCCUGGAGUAUGUCACUUUAUCCUAGUUGUAGAAGUCCUGCAAACAUUGUGUUUGCUGGUAGUCUGUUGGCAUCAAUGCUUUUUUACUUUCACGUUGACUGGGCCCCAUUUGUAAUUAUCUGAAGUAUUUAUCUGCAUUAUAUCUGAAUAUAGUUGAAACGAUACGAGCGAGCAGGAGGAGCUGAGGGGAAAACUGGUUGGGAGGGGUAGUGUUUACAUUCAAGAUUUCUCCCAAAAACUAGCACUUCCUCAGUUCUUGCCCACCCCACCUUUAAUCACUACGGAUGCAUGACCUAAACAGACUUAAACUAGUUUUCCUGUUUUGUCUCUUUUUUUUUGUCUUUUGUCCUUAAUUCCUCACAAGUUGUGUAAAUGUCAGAGAAAAAUCCAAACUUUCAGACAGAUGUAUUCCUGUGAUCUAUCCCUUCCCACCGCUUACCUCUCAUCACUUUUCUUGCACACGUCAGAGAGAUCGAAAUGUCUUCCAGUACUUCUUUUUCUGGAGGAGAAGUGAUAACACGAGAACGUCGACAUGUCGAGAUGGUUCCUCUGAUAGUGCUUGGAGGGCUGAUUUGCACACAUGGUUUUACUGAUCUACAUCUGGAAGUUGUCUGGAGAUUAUCUUCAUACUUUGGAUUUAACAUAGAAAAGCGGGGAGAUUACACGACUGAAAAGAUGUAGGGUGAAAAAAGGAUUUUUAAUGUUGACAUUCUACGUUGGAUACAAGGUCCAACAUCAUGUCAGCAGCCUCAAGUGUUCAGAUCGAAGAAGUCUGAUGAAACUCUUCCUUCCAGUGUGUGUAUUCUGCUCUGUAGGCUCACAUACAUGGGUGCCUGUACGCCUUAGCCUAUUUAAGUGCACGCUGGCAGACAGGUUAUUGAUUUGCGAGGGUGAAUUUGUGUUAAAAUUCAAGGUGGGCUUUCUGUCUUGUCUGUUCCCCUUGGCCGACAGAGCUCCCCAUAGAUCUGCAUGCACUCUACACACCCUCUGUUCACUAAUUCAUUAGUUUCACUCUCACACGACUAUCAAACACUAUCAUCUGGCAUCCAAGUAGCUGCUGAGGCAAGUCUGCAAUUUCACCUUUGGGGGAGGAAAUGCACAAUGCAGCAUACCAAAUGCCAUACAGAUGUAGAAAGUAUAGAGCUUGACUUUUUUUCCCUUUUCAUUGAGCGCAAACCACUGCCAUACUAAUGGUGUUUCUGAACUGAUUUAUCUGGAGAGUUACUGUUCUUAAAAUAGAUUGAUAGAUAACAUUUAAAAAUACAAAGUCAUUCUAUGUGAUCUGCAUAUUCUUGACUAUAGUUUGGUGAUGAGAAUAUAUCAGAAAAUCAUCUGCUUAGAUCAGGGCAGAAAGAGAGGCACAUCGGACCCCGGCUUCCCUUGCAGAAUUUUGUAAAAGUAGCGUUCCUGGAAAUGCUGUCGAGUCAGGAAAUAUGUUUCUACCCAGUGAACCAAUCACAGGUCUUGCAGUCAGCGCUGUUUUGACAUGUAGUCCUGUGUGAUGGACUUCAUCUGAUCUACACAGUCUCUUUCUACCUCAGAGAGAGUUUUUGACCUGCUCUUUGUGAACAACUUAAAAAGAUGAUUUGGAUGAUGGUGGCAUUUAUUAUUAUUUCAUGAUGGUGAGGAUUUGUUCUUUUGUUGCUGUGGUAAUAACAUAAAAAACCUGCUUUUUAUAAACCUUGUGCGUUGCCUCUGGCAGUGGAUGGCAUGACCUUCAUUCAACUGGACUUGAAGCUGUUGGUGUCAUUCACUCAUGUGGUGUUGUUUUCCUCCUGUCUUGAUCUUUGCUUGCGUUGCACUCAUAGACUGUAUAUAGAAUAGGCGCUGUCUGCCUCCUCACUGGGUGAAGCCACUCCGAGAACAGCACCCUCUGGUGAUGGGCUGCAGUAUAGGUCAUAAUUCCUCCUCUGCCAGCAAAGCUAAUGAGGCUGUGGACAAUUUAUUUACAUAGAAUUUAUUAUACAGAAUAUAACAGGAAUUGCUUAGCUUAUAUUAGAGGUGAUAGAGGGAGUCAAGAAUUAGGAUUGACUACAGAGAGGUUAGAUUAAGGCUCUGCCUCCCAGACUCCUUUUUUUUAGACUUUAGGUACCACAUGCCCACCUGCAUUCUGUGAGAUGAGAUUUUCAGGGAUAACAAGGUACUAAGAGCUCUUGUACAAAAAAUGGUUCGGUAUUGCUGAUAGCAGGCAUGGUUCCCAAUGUUGACAGGGCUCAAACCCUGUCCAGACUCAUCUGUGCGGGCUUGUCAGCUGUUUAGCUAUACGAGAAUAGUUGGUAUUUGGAGUUCUGGCCAACAUCUGCAAACCUUAAGACAAGAGAUCAUAAAAACUCUGAGGGGAAUACAAAGUUACAUUUGCAAAAAAGAAAUGGAAAUGAAUGCAAACUGAUGGUAAAAGAAGAGGAUAACUUGUCUUCUGGGAGUCUAAGUCUAUGGUGAUGUAAUCAGGGGUGGUCCAAAGUAUGAGGCCUGAGCAAUCCCCAACUAUCAGCUUUAUCAAAAUGAAGAUGACUUUGCUUUCUCUCAAAAGUAAAGCAACUGUCUAACCUCUGGACUCGGUCUGGUAGAUGAUUCCAUGAAAGAGGGUCCGAUAACUUAAGGCUCUACCUCCCAUACUACUUUUGGAGACCUAUGGUAUCUCAAGCAAGCCUGCAGUCUGGGAGAUUGUUCAAGAAGAAACUUGUGAAAAUAAUGCUGUUGUAGAAAUGACUAUGCUUGACUGCGACCAGACAUAAUCAAGGAUUUUAGCAGAAUUUGAACUCUUUUACUAAUUCUUUGUAACUAAGAAGAGAGCUCUUUCCUUUUUGCUCUUCCAUACUUGCCUUAUUUCUUCAGACUGGGAGUUGUCGUUUGGUAACUCCCUCUUGAACGCCGUCUCUAAAAGCUGAGUUAAAAGAGAGCUUUGGCUGAUUCAUCCUCCAAAGCUCUCUGCCUGUCUCUCCCAGUCAGUUCAGGGACAGUUGCGGGGAGGAGUGCCCUUUUGAAUGCCGACCUCGUUGGGAACGGUGACCUCCGGCAGGUUCAACAGCCACCGCAGCAACAUAGCAGUCCUGUCAUCUCAUCCGCAGGGUUUGCAUGGCUAACCACUGCCCAGCAAGCAGGAUGUUUGUGUGUGGCUGUAUUUUUGUGCACUAGAGAGAGGGAGAGUGUAUGAAUGUGUGUGUCUGUGUGUGUGUUUGUGGUAGUUUGAAGUGUGCAACUGUAACAGUGAAGCUUUCUAAGUGUGACCCACAUAAAAGGUCUGAAUGAGCCUCAGGACUCUGAACAUACAUGCCUGACAAGAACACGCGGACCUAACCACAAACUAUCAUACAACACACACAGGCUCUCUCUCUCUCACACACACACACACACACACAAACACACAAUGGCCGGUUGUUCCCAUGGUGACUAUGUUCUAGUGAGUGGGAUUUUCCAGGCGGCGUCCGGAACAGUGGACACUCCAGAGGUUGUCCUGGAAGUCUGCUUUGAUCCAAGUGGGCAAAUCAACCCAAAUCUGGGACAAUUCCUGACACACACACACACACACACACACACACACACACACACACACACACUUGCCCUCAAUGGCCUUUUUCAUCUGACCAACAGAACGACAAUUGCUGGACCCUUGAUGAUAAAAAUGAUGAGGUGAUUUCUCUGUUAAUAACUUAACACUUUUAACAAGUCGUCUGAUUUAUUGUGGUUGUAGUAAAAUAUCACAGGCAGCAUUAACUCUUAAACCUACAUAAAAUAAAGGUGUCUGACAUGGCGAUGACCAAAAAAUGUCUAUAAAAGUCACCUAAUUGUUCAGGGUUCAAGCCUCACCACUGGUCCUCUUGGAGACAGAACAAUCACACACAAAGCAGAGCUGCUUGUAGUUGUCUUUACGAUGUCCUCAGAGAAAGGGUGGACUAGACACUACUUAUAAAGCCUCUGUCUCUCAGGCUGACUCAGACACCAGAUUUUACAGAGCUGGCACUGCUUCACAUGUAUGUGUGUGUUUGAGAGUGAAAGUGUGUGUGACUGCGAAGACGUAAUGAAAGUUAGCAUGUUUUUACCUCUUCCUACUGACACAUUUAUUGUCUGUCUGAAAUCUGCGCCGAAAACUCAGACACGCAAGUCCAGCUGAAGUUCUCACCACACAAAUUUACAGUAUAGAAGACUGAGAGGGGAUGACACACACACACAGACACAAUUGUUGAAAGGCAAAGUUUAUUCUUGAGCAAAUCUUACAGUCAUGUUUUGAAAAUAAAACACAGGAGCGAUACCAUUACAAAGAUAUAAAUAAGCACAGGAGACAGACAACAAAUGACACACAAUAAGUGUAGACAAGUUAGCAAUCGUCAAUGUGGAGAGGUUGUUUCUACAUAGUUACAAAAGUUCAAUUUCAAAUGGCCUUAGUGUGUUAUUUUUAAGUGUAACUUUGUCGUUAUCUGCCAACUAACAAUUGUUCAUGGUAAUAAUUUAAUGUUCUUGCCUCAAGAGUCACAAAAAGUUUAUUUUGGAGUUGCAACAUAUCUGCAUACCACAAAAUCUUGUUCUCGAAAUCAUGGUUUUAAUAUGACAGUUAUAAUUUUGGAGCGAGUUUUAUCCAUUUAGUUGGUCAGAAAGUCUCUGCGCUCCUGCCUUUCAUCAGCAUAACUAAAUAAAUUGUAAAUGAUUGCCCAACUUCCACUUAAUUUAUCACACAUUAUUCAUCUGUCAUUUUCAUUUUUGCCAGCUGGACAGCUGUAACUGUCUGCGUUUGUGCAUGGGAGGGGUGUGUUCAUAUUACCGUACUGGACUGGCACAGAUCUCUUGUGUGUCAUAACCCCACUUUCACUGUGAGGGGAAAUUUCCUGUAACUUAAUCCUCAAACACAGGCUCGGUGUCUGGGUAAUGUUUUCGAAAAGUCACAAUUUAGGAACUCUGUCAGACACAGCGUGAAUAUCUGAAAAUAAAAAUGUCAACGAAGAGGUCGGAUCUAUCUUUGUCUGUCUGGAGGAGAUCUCACCAUCUCUCUCUCUCUCUCUUUUUUUCUUUGCGUACGAGAACACAGAUUCUUCUCAUUCUCCACAUGGUCAUUUCCUCUCUACUGAUUGACGUGUCCUGUUGAGGAAACAAAAUAGAGCUAGUUAACACACUCACCUGGAGGGAUAGAGUAUCACAGGCACAGAAAUACACACACAGGUCAGGAGUGGGGUCACUGAGAGAGAGAGCUUCCUUUUGCAGCUGAGAGAGUUGAAUCUCAAAAGAGCAAAGAAGAGAAACUAACAUUGCUACUGCAUUUACACUUUUCUAUUCAUAUGAAAUCCUCCUGAAAUAAGUUACAUUUGAAAGAAGGAAGAAUCCAGGGAACAGAAAAAAAACACUCAACCUCCUGUGAGGGGAUUUUUGCUUCCCCACCCACUUCCUAAGUGUUGUCCCAAUCUGAGAACAUAACUGUGAGUGCUUGUGUGUGACACAGAUUUGUACAGAAGAUGGUAAGACAAAAAUCUUUCCAUAGGUCGAAUAUUUAUUUCAUUGAAGUUCACUUCUUAGACCAUUUAAUGUAGGAUCAGCUGUCUUUGAGAGUGCAAAUAAGACAGUAAUGCUGCGUUCGAGUUACCUCGGAGGUCAGAAGUCUGAGCUGAAAAUGACGUCACACUGGAGUUACCGGCGUUUCAGUUACCAAGUCCGAAAAAAACAAAUUCUGAGGCUGAAACAAGAUGGCUACAUCUACAAAAGUUAUUUUAAGUUAUCUACGAAAGUUAUUUUACCUUACAUUCGGACAAGGCAAGCGCUAAAAUAACUUUCGUAGAUGUAGCCAUCUUGUUUCAGGCCUCCAAUUUUGCUUUUUAUUGACUUGGUAGCUGAAAAAGUGGGAACUUGGAUGUGACGUCAAUUUUUUUAGCUCCGACAUCUGACUUCCGAGGUAACUCAAACUCAGCAUAAGGUCCUGGUGCAGUUUAGGAGAAUGUCUGCUGAUGCAGGAUUUUAUGCUCUGGACCUUUGAAGUCGGAUGUCGGAACUGGCUAGACGUUACAGCCGAGUUGACGGUGUUCCAGUUAACAAGUCGGAAAACCGAGAUGGACGCCUACAGUAACCCUUUGUUAGCUGUUGUUUACAAUUGUUAGCUGUCGUUAGCCGUUGUUGUUCGCUAAACCAGUUGUAAACAACGUAUAAUUCAGUAUUUUACUCUUACAAACACCAUAGCACCGUGUUCAUAGUUCGAUGUUGAGCAGUACAACAUAUCUCACUUGUUUAAUUUCAGGAAAACAAAACAGAAGUGCUAAUAAAUUAUACAUUAGGAGAGCUUUCACUGUUACUCUUUACUGUUGAUGCACUGUGCUGCCAUCUUGGAUUAUGACGUUGUCGCCAAGUCGGGGUUGGUGAGGAUCAUCCGACUUUCCGAGUGGGAAAUCUGACUACAAGGGGGCGUUCCAGAUGAAUUUCUGACUGGGAGCUCAGAGAUUCCGACUUCCAAGUACAACUGGAACGCGGCACAAGUGCACCUUUACAAUCCUGUAUAAUGAUCUAAUCAGUAUCAAGUGGAGUUAACUGAUUUAGUAAGACUUCACACCAUGUUUUUGUUGUUACAAGUACCAGUAAUCAACCCAAACUGAAGUAUUUUUGACAAGAGAAGUUGUGAUGCUCAAACUACAUCAAACUGAAACAGGUUCACAAGGUUAAUUAUGUGAUUUUAUUGUUCCCAUGACAACAAAGAUUUAAUAAGAAGUGCAGUUGGCCACCUGGCUUAUUCAUUUGCUUAAUUGGGACACAGUGUUGUUAGAGCAAUCAUCUGGGGGUCAGGUGAUGCGUUUCUUCAUAAUUAUUUUCCUGUCAUUUUUGCCUUAAUUGGAUAAGUGAGCUGAAAAUAGACAGAACACACAGAGAAGAGAAAGCUGAUGACAUGAAGGAAAGGGGAGCGGCUAAAAUUUGCCCCCAAAUCCAAUAUAUUUCGAAAAGUAGGCCUAUACAGUUUCCCAGUUUAGCUCAUGUAGGAAGAAAGAAACGUUUCACAAGAUUCUGGAAUAUCAUAAAAGUUUCUAACAAGUUUCUAACUGCAGCACUGAUUUGAACCAAUAAGUCAGAAUCAAUUUAAUAUGAACAAGUUAUUAGAUUAGUUCAAAGUUCAGAUCAUGUUGUGGUCACGUUCAGGAAAUGACCUGUCCAGUCUGUUAAUGUAAGAGGAGACAGAGCCUGAGGGCACCUUAUCAGAGCCAUCAACAGGUGGGCUCUUACUUUAUAGAUGCAAACACACACACACACACACACACACACACACACACACACACACACACACACACACACACACACACACACACAUGCAUGCAUGUAGAUGCACAUAUAAGUGAAACCUCUGCACAAACGCCCCCAGGUGAAAUACCUGAGAGCCAUGGACCACAAUCCCUGCCCCCAUCAAACACACACACACACACACACACACACACACACACACACACACACACACACACACACACACACACAGAUUCACUCUUUCUUUCAAACACACACUCCGCUUCAGUCUCGCAUACCUCAGAGUAAAGCGAGCAUAUCGGAGCACUUGCAGCGCACCCCACAGCCUACCCUCCCAUUUAAUCUGAUUUCACAUUCAGAAAAUACAGGAUCCCACGCAUGCCACACAAGCAUACUACAUACACUCCAAGCACAGACACAGACACACAGCUAGAGAGACAGGAGACUGCAGGGCGUGUAGACUUUCUGCUCUGAAGUCUUGUGUAAAUACCUGGACGUAAUCUCCCAGCUUAGAUGAAUCCAGAUGAAUCAGAACCUGCUCUCACAGUUUCCCUUACAGUCUGCUUCACAUCACCGUGUGAACUCUUCUUGGCCACACUGAAGUCCGCAGCUCGCUAAUAGGAACCUGGCAGCUCAGUUGUGAUUCUGCGAGUGAAUGUGAGCUUUCUGCGUCGAGCAUGAUUGUUACAUGAUUGCUGCUUCUUCUGUGUAACCUGACCCUCCAAAGAACUUGUGUGGAGUAUCCAGAAGCCAUGAUUUUGAUAAAAGCCUUUUCAAGCUCUCCGUGGCCCGACUCCAGGCUGCCAGUUCACUAAAAGUAUCCUGCAGGGGCAGAUUUCAGGUCAACUGAGAACAGACCGAGGUGCAUGCUCUUAGGAGUUAAAAAUUGCUUCAUCAGAGACCUUGUUGUCCUGUCCUGUCUUUUUUGCUACCUCCACCAAGGAGGUUAUGUUUUCGGUAGCGUUGGUUUGUUCGUUUGUUUGUCUGUUUGUCUGUUAGCAACUUUACGGAGAAAGUUACAGACGGAUUGACCUGAAAUUUUCACCAGAGGUGUGUCUCAGCCCCAUUAAAUUUUGGUGGUGAUCCGGACAAAAUUCUGGAUACUGUGAUCCAGAACACACAAAAAAAAGGGUUGUUGGAAUUGUCAAUGCUGAAAGAUAACCAAUGGGCGGCACAGUGGUGUAGUGGUUAGCACUGUCGCCUCACAACCAGAACAUCCUGGGUUGGAAUCCUGGUCAGGGCAUUUCUAGUUUUAGGAACAUUAUAAACAGUGAACAAACCAGUUUAAACACAAAUAAACGUUAAUAAAAGACACGUAACAGUAAAAGUUUUGGUGUGAAUCACAAUAUAAGAGGGGACAUGAGCUGCUUGGCGGAGGUCUGCGCUCUCCGAGUGCUUUUCUAAUUUGUUUUGUUUUUCCUUUUUUUUUGUCUUUUACCUCUACUUAUUCACCUGUAAAAAAACAGCUGCAGCUCAUAUGCUAUAGAGUAGGGCUGGGCGAUAAACAGAAAAUUUACCGAUACUAAAUUUCACGACAAUAACCGACGUCAUUAUGCCCAUGUCAAUAUUUUCGGUGUAAAAUAAAUGAAUAAAUAAAAGUUGGUUUUGGAGACGUGACUCCACCCCAUCCAGUCAGUAACAAGGAGGGAAAGACAGGUGAGGAGAUGGAGGACGGUUCAAAAGUUGUAGCAGCUGAAGUAGAUGAAGUUAAUGUGGGAGGGGGUGAGCAGCUUGUGGAGUAGUUAUCAUCUGUUUAUCAUUAUUGAGGUGAACUGCUCAGUAUAUCGUGAUAUUGAUUUGAGGCCAUAUUGCCCAGCCCUACUGUAGAGUCAAGAACUGUAACAUGAACAGUUUUUUUUCUUGAUUAAGAGAAAGUGGAAAUGCUUGCAGGACUUUGGCUGCCAGCUGAUGUUUAAACAUCUCAGCUGCACAUUCAGUCUUUACACUCAAAAUGUUAAUGAGCGCAGCAUUGUAUUUAAGAAUCUGUAAACCGGCUGCUACAGCUGUGAUAAUUAGUAAACACAUUAAAGAACCUACAAGACUUUAAAGUUGAGCUACUCUCAACACUUUGUGUGUAUUGUAGCAGAGACCUUUGUAUCCUGAACUGCUGCUGUGCCGCAAGAUGAAUUUGAACUUUUUCUGCAUUCGUUCUCAGUCAAGUGUGAUCACAGCCUCGUUCUGGUUCUGCACCCAAGAUUUCCCGUCAGUGAUGCUUACAGCACAUUAUCUUAGAUUGUAGAUCAUCUAUCACUUGUACAAUAAGAGCAAUCACAUAUCAGAAGAGCAAUCCCCAAUCAAAGAUUUCCUCGAAAUCAGUCAGAGAAAGCAGAAAAAGGUCCUCCCUAAUCCUCCACGAUCUCGGUCAGAUUACUUUUUGUGAUUGUCAUGACUGUAUUUAGAAUGCAGCCCUCAGUGCUGGUGAGUGAAAGUGCUGUUUUCCAGCUCCACACCCUGUGAGAAAAAACCCUGUUUCCCUCUCUCUUCUGAAUGGAAAGUGAUUUUACAUUCUUUCCUCAGACAAGAGGAUAGAAGGGGGAGCCGCAAAGAGGAAAAGAUACUCUAAUGGCAGUAUCAGAGCACAGUAAUGAUAGAUGCAGGUUUCAAGUCUGAUCCAUGGGGAAACAUAUGCGGGGCAUGAUGGGAUUGAUAGAACUAUUAAGGCAUGCUUUGCUGCUAUUGCUCCUGUGCUGCUGCUGCUGAUGAGGCUGCUGAUUGACGGCCCGGCCUGGAGCAGCCUGGUGAGGUCAGGUUUCGGGGAUGAGAUCCAUUUACCUUCAUUUACAUAUCAAUCUAGCAAAGUGGAGAGCGGGGUUAUGUAGGAAUUGUCAUUUUGGAGUGUCAUGUGAGUGUAUUCCCGGAUUUGUGUCCUCUAUAUGAAGGAUGUUAAUUUCUGCAGUCAGGUACAAAGGUACAGACUGUGUGUGUUGGAGGGAGGGUGACAGGAAGAGAGAAGAUCUUCCUCCUAACGGAUAUGAUGUUUGACAUUUCAUUUACCGAGCCUGACCGGUGAGGUUAAUAAUGCUACAAAAAGCAAUCAGGGCUAUCUGCUCAUACAUAGCACACGCGCAGGUACAACACAUGCGUGUACACACACAUACACACACACACUCAACGUAAUGCAUUCCAGUCAUGUCAACCUAGUUAAGUGGUCCUAAAUAAGAUGUCAUUUUAUACCAGGAAUUUUAACCGUCUACAAAUCUCAUUCCCCAAAAAAGUAACACACACACACACACACACACACACACACACACACACACACACACACACACACACACACACACACACACACACACACACACACACAUAUAUUCUCGACACUGAAGAUAUAUGGCAGGUCUGCUGUGUGGGGCUGAUGGUUUGGACCCCUUCACUUAAGAUAUAUUUGUCAAAUAUUUGAGUGGCACUUUCCAAGUUCAACAACCACAGCCACCAUGAACAUGCCUGAGUUACCACAAGGGCUGUUCCUGGUUCAGGGUUUUUCACAGUGGGCACUGGCAUGAAUGGGGGAUGGGUGUAGUCUCUUUCUCUAUGGUCGGGCACUGUAGUUAUUAUUGAUGGAUUUUUAUUAUAAUAUCAAAGAUGAAUGUGAAACAUUCUCUCUUCUGCCCCGUCAGUACUGUAGCACAAAAGCUCAGGAGGUAACCUCUCAAAUCACUUUAACUGAUUUUUGCUGUUACUUUUUAAACUCUGUAGCUGUAAUGGUUUUUCAAACAGAACUUAUUGCCUCAUAUUGACUUUGAUUACAAUAUAAAUAUUGCAGCUUUCCCACUACCUUUAAAAAAGUCGCUUGAGGCAGAGAAUUGGUCCUGUAAAUUUGUGUGACACGCCACUGCUGAUUCAUAGAAGCACCCACAGUUCAUCGAGGUUUUGGAGCUUUAAUAACACAAAAACGCUUCUACAGUGGCCAAUGAUUUACAUGCGCCCUAAGAUGUAAUAUGUGUACACUUUGCAAUGUACAACGCAACGCAAACAAAGAACAUAAACGCAGUCAACAAAAAAUACGGCUACCUAGAAUCACCUCUCCAUCCCAGAGCAGGUGAAACAGCCCCUCAUAUAACCCCUGGGCUUUCAAACACAGUGCCCAUGUGACCCGAAACUCAGCGAAACCAAUGGCAACCAGACAGAGGAGCUGUGGACAAACUUUAGAAAUUUAUUACACAGUAUAUAAAUUUUUCUCUCGUCUGCUUGUGAUGUUGACAUAUAGUUAGUGUAAGACUCGUCUGUGCUCAAGUCCUCUUUUUUUCUGUACAGCUCAAUUUUUAAAAGUUAUUAGGAGGUUCAUGUUUUCUAUGAUUGACACUUGAUACAGCCUAUGGGUGUACGAAGAUUUAGUAGCUCACCUGAGGGAUACGCUUUUUGAGCCAAGCGUCGUCAUCUCUGCGACUCUCCCGCCGAAUGCGUACAACGCUACUGCGCAAUGUCAGUUUCAGGAAGUAGAGAAAAAUCACGGAAAUACUGAGAGAUUUUUGGCUUCAAAUCCGUAUACUGGCGGAAGGCGGAACCAAGUUGUCCAUAGUAUAUACAGUCUAUGUCUGCACUGUUUUGAUUGAAUCAUGACCUACAUCAAUAGAGGUUUUAUCACAAUGGGGCUAAUUUACGUUAUAUUUGCAAACACAAGCAUUUGCACUGCCCUUUUUGAAGCAUUGCCGUACUUCACACUGCAGUCUCUUUUUUCUAAACUAAACCACUUCUGUAGCAGGUAGUUCUGAUUUGGAUAAUUUAGUGAAAAUUCUCGACUGCAAUGUUCACACUCACAUGAGCCUGCAACAGUCCGUGUUCAAAGAGACGACUUAUAUGUUUGGACAAAUUGUUCCUGCUUGAUGACUCAAAUCAUCCACUUUCAGAGAGAGAGAGAGAGAGAGGAAGAGAGGGUUAAAUUCUGUGUUUCACUAUAGCACACACACACACAAACACACAUUCAUGCAUACCUACACACUUAAGUUGAUCAGCUCUGUGUGUGGUAGAUGUAAUCUCGUGUGAGUGGUGCGCCAGGCCAGUAUAAACAGGAGGAUCUCUUGUUGUUACAGUGUAAUGAGGGUGAUGAUCAACAGGUGGAGAUAAUGGAGCUGGGUGUCUUUGAGCCGAGGCACACACACACACACACACACACACACACACACACACACACACAUGCACACACUUAAAUUAAUAUUUGUGUCUGUUAGUAUUAAAAAAAGACCCUGAAGUGUUAAACUUAUCAGAGCAAAAGAUGAGAAAGUGAUUAUGUUGAGGCUUAAAGGAGUAAGAGGUUUGGGGAAGGAGGAGUUGGGGGUGGUGGUUGGGAGCUUGAGACCCUCAUGGUUUUUAAAAGUAAUGGUGGAAGGAGGGUUGCAGGUGGAAUGUAUUGCCUGUGUGUGUUUGUACUCUGCACUACUUAUGCACUUGAUUUUGGUGGUUAAAAUGGACUUAUUCCAGAUUGUGCAUAUGUGUGUUCACAUAUGAGUUGAAGAGCCAGGGAGUUUACUCUUGACAGGUUUUCUAUUUCAACCACAGAUAGAAACAUAGUCAUAAACCUCUGGACCUGAAGGAGGGAAUGAUUGACAAAGGGGAUUUUUGGAUGAGGAGUUAAAGAGAAAAUGAUUGUACUCAGAACCAAAUCUAUCAUUUUUAACAUAAAAAUGGAAAACAAGAUGGGAGGAUAUGAGCAGUCUUAAGUUUAAAUGCUUAAGAUUUACAAAGAAAGCAAAGGGUGAAACGGGGACAGGUUUUGGACAGUUAGCUUCUCGAUGAGGCAAAUCCUUCUAAGACUUCAAACAGUUUUUCCUGAAAUCUCACAACUUCUCAUCCACCCAUCUGUCUGACUGUCCAUCUAUCUGCCCGUCGAUCCAUUAGUCUUGAAAUGUUUAUGGCAUUGAAGUUGGCCAUUUUGAAACUCUAGUUGGCACAGUAUAGUAGAAAUGAAUGUUUGGAGGUGGAUUCUGCCAAAAUUUGAUUACGACUACGAAUUAUGCAUUAGCUGCCCCCCUACCAGCUUGGCCUUAAAGGGAUAUUCCUGUGUAAAAUUAAGUUAGGGUCAAACACACCGUAACACCGAGUUAGACACCCUGUUGAGAGAUGAAUGUUGCUGACUGCUUACUUCUCUAGUUAUACCGACUUUAGUAACGACCGCAGGAUAGCAGUACACAGCGGUCUCGGGAGCCACGCACGAACCAAAAAGCCACUCUAUGGCCACAAAUAAUGCUCAGAACUUCAUCAACAAUACAUAUAGGGUCCUAUCCACAGCACUAGCCACCAAACAUCUUUUACCUUUGCCUCAUUUCUUUAGCAAAGAGACUAAACACAACUCACCUACCCUCUUCCAGCAGCUGCUUGUUUGUACGGAGACUUCGGGCAAGUCCAUCAUGACUAAAGCGGGGUGACGCAGCUCAUAAUCAUCACCACAUUAAUCAUUUUGCACUGCAGAAAUGAUCAUAAAUGUUCUUCCUUGAGCUGCGUCACCCCGCUGCAGUCACUGAUGGACUCGUCCAAACAAAUAAGCGGCUGCUGGAAGAGAGUGGGUGAGUGUGUAUUGCUAUAGUACGGUCGUUACUAAAGUUGGUAUAACUAGAGAAGCAAGCGCUCGGCAACAUUCAUCUCUCGACGGGGUGUCUUACUCAGUGUGAUGGUGUGUUUGACCCUAAUUUAAUUUUACGCUGGAAUAUCCCUUUAAUAUCCAAUUUGCAAAGUUCACUAUCUUGACAUUUAACGCACACCUGGCUAUGAAGUUCUGCAGUUUGCUUUUCUGUCGUAUCUUUUUGUGGACAUGAGAUAUUAUCAUCUCAUGUGCAAAGCUGCACUUUAUUCUGACAGAGCUCUAAUCUCUUUACAUGUGAAGUAACUAAGUUGGCAGGGAAGGACUUCAUGUACAGAUAUAUUAUUUUUAAAUCAACCAGAAGAUGAAAUGUUGUCAUGAUCUCUGAAAAGCUAUGAAUGCUGCAGUACGGUUAACACCAGCUGUCAGCAGGUAGUUGGAGUUUCACACCAGCUGUAAGAAGCUUGUAUUGUAUUGUUUAAAGUAAUGAGGUUCAUUUGCAUAAAAGGCAUUCUUGAACACAUAAUGGCCCAUCAAGUAUCACCUCUUCAUCCUCCUUAAUGUUGGACUUGCAAAGGUAAAUGUUCAAUUUGAUCUAGCAGCAACAAACACCUUAUUUUUGUGAUGCUAAUGUAGGUGUAAGAAAGUUGCUCACCCAGGUACUCAUAUGCAGGUUUUUUGUGAAGCUUUAUUCAGUCUUGACUGUAUACAUAACUGUAUACAAUCUUUUUGUUUUGUUUCUGUUUUUGUUUCUAAAUUUUUGCAAAAAGGAAUAAAAAAAGAUUUCAGCCUGCACCAAAGCGGUGAAGCGACAAGAGAUUGUUGUUGCUAUCCGGAUAGCAAUGCUGCAAACUUCACGCAAAAUAUCUUUUAUCUUUGAAUUUCCAACAGGACCAACUUACCCCAAAAGAAAAUAUUAUAUGAAGCAAUAGCCAAAAGCAUGAAACAAAUCUGUAUGAUAAAAUAUUUGGUGGUUUGUCUGGAUAAACUAACUGGGUUGCCCACAGAUGAAGUUUCGUUUGAAGUGUUCAAGGCACGUUGACUUCUAGCAUUGAUGGAGGCCUGUUUUAUCUGCUGAGGCAGAGCAACAGAUACCCGUGUAAUCAAAUCUGCUACGCCAGGGGCGCAUUUGAGAGCCAAAACCCUCUACAAGCCAAAUUUAUACAAAUGGGCCUCUUUUGUUCACAGGAUACAAUACAGCUGCUCAAUUUACUGCUGCACUCCGAACGGAUGCAGCGAGGUGAAACGCACUCACACACACACACUCACAUAGACACACAUACACACAAAAGUAUUUCUGUGUUCUUUGAAUUUUAUUCUCUCCUUCGUUUCUCAUUACACACACGCACACUCAGCCGGGGCAAAUUUUAUCUAAGUUGUGCUGAUCAAACCUCUGGCUGAUGGUGGAGAUAGCAAGGGUGGAGGAGGUAAAUCGAUGGCUGCGUCGAGAAGCCGUGUUCCCUAUUAAAGAAAAGGCUGACACAUGCAGCGGGCCUCCCCUGCUAACUGACAGCUGUAAAGAUGAACAAUGAGACUAUCCUGCUUCAUAAAAUGGGAAGACCUAGCUUUUUUGGAACUUGCGUCUGGGGUUUGAACCACAUUUAUUAUUUCUGUCACGAAAGGCUGUGUGUAAAUGUGUGUAUUUUGUGAGGAGUUUGCCUUUAUAGAUGAAUACAACCGAGAGCUCUUUAUUAGGACAGUAAAUAGAUGGUUUUUUAUGGAGGUUUCAUCCAGAAGGGGCAAGGGACGGGGCAGCUUGAAACAAAAAUGAAGGGGCCGAAGGUCCUUAAAGGUUGGGUAGGAAGGAUCUGAGGAAGUGCCAGUUUUUUUGAGAAAUCUUGAAUGUAAACACUAAACCCAUCCCAACCAGUUUGACGUGAAAGUCAAAAGCAUUGGUGCUACAGUAGAUGCCAACAGACUACCAGCAAACACAAUGUUUGCAGGACUUCUACAACUAGGAUAAAGUGACAUAGUCCAGGAGCCGAGGGAGGACAGUUUAGCGGCGCUACAACACGCAGCAGGUCCGUUUGACAAGAAACACUUCUGUUACAGACACUUGUCUUACUUUGUUAAAGCGGUUUACCUGUCCAGCAAAAAGGUUACAGGUCCUGAAGCGUCCCCCAUCAACCCAGCUUUUUAGCUCUUGUCCGGUCUACCUCCUUUUUAAGCGCCCGUUAUUCCUCCAGAGUCUCCGGUGUUUACUUUGUUUCCUUGCUUGUGUCGGCAGACGUGGCCAAAGGAGGAUUCAGAUAAUUUUCCGAACUUUCUUGUUGGUUUCUACUGCCCGAUAAUGUAGCACGCUAACUUUGUUUGGGCUCAUGAACGGGGGAGCAGCAUCUGCCUCACAACCAAUCAGGUUGAGGGAGGAGGAAAAUGGCUUUCUGACUACACAGAUGUAAAAAAACACAGCAAUAUCGAUAUAUUACCAAAUGUCAUCAAUAUCUAAUAACUAUCGACUGAUAUUAAAAGCUUUUUUGUUUAUACACCACAAAAAAAGAUGCCUCUUUAACAGAAUCCUGCCUACCCCACCUUUAAGUGCACGUAAACACCACCUCAAAAGGUAGCACAUGCACGCUAAACUGGAGCAAAGGCCUGACUUGCUUUCCCCCAGAAGUAAAGGGUGGCUUUAUUCCGAGCCAUGCAGGGAGCCGAUUCAUGGAGUUCCCCUUUUUCUCUUUGCAGUUGUAUUGUCAGAGCCUUUUGCUCGAGGCGCUUUGUAGAGCCAUGAAGUCAGGCCUACAGCCACUAUCUACAAGUGUCCUACCCUUUCCUUCCUUUCUCCCCUCGCUCUCCUUGUCACUAGUUAUCGCCGUCAAAGUCCAGCUGCACUGUUUAUGCUGGGAGCUGUCACAGAGAUGUGUCACCGCCGUGUGAUGCUUCACACGCUUGGUGACAAAACAGUCAGUCACGAUUCACACAUGCGGCAACAAUAAAUCUUUUCCGCACACACAAACACACAAACAUUACACACUUUAUCUUCUACCUGUGGAGAUAUCUUCUUCCCUUAGAUUCAUUUUUAUUUAACCAGACAGACCAGAAAUCAAUUCAAGUUCAACUUUUUUUCUGCUUUCCAGGAACAGGUUUGACAGGCGAAGGGAAAAAGAAACUGUGCGUUACAGCCGCACUUGAUUGCUCUUGUCUGCUCGUACUUAGUGAAAACUUUGCUAUUUGUUAAUGAAUGUUUGGCAGGCUUGCCACUAGCAGCUUGUAGUUGCAGCUUUGUCAUAAGCCGUCGCUUGUGGCAUUUCCACAAGCCGACUCCAUGUGCUAUUUCUAGCAGCUGCAGCAACGUGAAGAAAGACAGCGAAUGAAUGUGAGUAGAAAGGACAGAGCGAAUUAUGAGACUCUCCCAGCGCCAGUGUUAACAUUUGGAUGUUCUUACUAAUGAAGUAAUCUUAUGCUUUAUUACAUCUGAGAUCAGAUAUAACUCUCAUGCUUUCACUUCUGCUUUCUUUCCUUCUUUUUCGUGUCUGGGAAAAUAAUAUUCUCCACAUUUGGAUUUAAACUGUUUUUAAAGGUCUUCUAAUGUGCCAGAGUGGAUAAAUACAUAUAAUAAAAGUGAUGUGAUUGAUCAGUUUGUGAGUGGUGAGCUGCGAAGGAGAAGACCUCUGGGGCUUACAUCAGCUCGCUGGCCACUCCUUUCAUACCAUAACCAGUCAAUAAAGAUCUUUGUAAGCUGUUAACGUUUGAGGAUAAAUGUAGUUUUCCUUUAAGCCAGGCAAAUAUUUGACAUCAGAAACAGAAAGAGGUUCCAGUGACAAGAUUUGUUUUACAUUAUACACUUGACCACAGCUCCAAGUGAAGACAGGCUGGGACGGAGGUGAUGGAAAGUGGGCUUCUUCACAUCCUCUUCUCCUCGACUUGCUGCCAGGUUUUAAACUUGUCUGUGCUCAUCUUCCAGAUGUUUUAAAGCUGGACACCUCGUGGUGCUUUAAUACCCUUAGAUCCAAAUUCUCAUGCUUGGAGCUUUUGUUUGAGGUGUAUCCAUAUGUUUUGUUGGAGACCUUUGACUGGAAUCGCUACAAAAACAUGCUGAAAGUAACAUCUUUCCACAGGGCUGAUAGAGACAGAGCUCUGCCUUUUGAACAUCUUAAUUUGAUUGAACUCAUUUGAACCUUAUUUUCUGAAAUGUGCUGUCUCUCUUCUCUCUUUGCAUCUUAUUUAGAUGCAUGAAGACAAGCUUACAAAAAUUUCGUCUGUUUCUUUCCAUCUUUUUUUCCCUCAAUCGUGGCAUUUUAUGGUGCAAAUCUGGAAACAAUGAACCUCAGCCUAGGAACCAGGCGAAGCUCGAUUGACUCGGACAGAUGCAUCUUCCCCUUUUCCAUUCAAAUGCUUUUCUAUCUGGUCUAAUUCAGGUCAGGCCAAUCACAGCUGUUCAUAUCCCACUGUAUGAGCUUUGUUGUGUGUUUUCUUUACCUUGGAUUCUGGGCGCUGGAGGGUUACAUCAGACAAGUGGACUGUGUUUCAUUUCAACUUUGGAAGGUGUUCAGCCCUUAGCUUUCAUUGUUGUUUGCUUUGUUAGCUAAUGCCAAACGAUAACAAUGAACUACUUCAUAGUUUGUGCACAAAUGCAACAUGACAAAAGUCCACGGAUAGAUGUUGCGCAAUACUAUCGGUAUGUUUGAUUUAGUGCCACAAAAUAAGACUGAGUUGCUCAUAAACAUGCACAAGGUACGAUGCAGCCAUCUUGGGUUUUGAGUUCAGGGUUACUUAAGUUCCUCUGGUUUUCAGCGUAGGAGAACAGACUUCAAGGGGUGUCCCAGACGACUUUUCAAACUACCGAGAUCAAAUAGAAAUCACACUUGCAGCAGCACUGGCAGCUAAGAUGGCUGCUGUUGAUGUGUGGUUCUAAUCCCCUCAUCUUGCCAGUACUGAACAACUGGAUCGCAAUGAAUGAUGCACAGCAGUGACUGUUGCUGGCCAUGAAUGACCUAAAUGAAGUAGAAACCAUCAUUAACAGAAGUUAGAUCCAUGUCUCCGAUUCUUCCUUGUUUGUUUUUUAUGGUAUCUAACGGCAUAUUGAUUGUUAUGAAAUCAAACUUUUUUGUGUGUUUGGUCUUGUGAUACCAGACUAGAUGACCCUUGUUUCCACUGUAAUCAGGCCACUAAAAUAACCUGCCUUUGUCGGUUAUUAUCUCCAGCCUCAGUUAGAAAAACCUGUCUUCGUUUUUAGACAUAAAAAAAAAAGUUCAAGAUGAAAAAAGGGAGGAGAAAAAAGAAAACAGCACACAGUCAGUCAUUGGCUGCGUCAAAAGCAGAAGAAGCCAGCUGCAACAGAAAGAAACACUUAUGCACGCAAACAUGCACUCAGGCAAACCCUAAAAUGGCCUGAGUGAAUUGAGGUAAUACUCGAGAAGAAUUGAUGUGGUCGAGUCUGAUGGGGAUUUCAUAUGUGUGUGUAUAACUCAGAUAAUGAGCCAGCUGUUAAACUGUUACAAUGACCAGAUUCAUACACACACUUACACGGACACUAGGUCUGCCAAGAGUUAAACUAUAACAGAGACAACAUGUGCAAUAAGGCUCCAUUAAAUCAAAGAAUGCAGCUUUAAAGGAGUAUUAAACAUACCUUGUCUGUUUUAUUUCAAUCCCACAUUGUCAUGUGUCAGACUGACGUGUGUGUCUGUGUACUUGAGUAUGAUGUGAGUGGCGUCCUGAGUAUGAUAGUUGGUGAAUGUUUUCUGAUAUGCAUUUGCAGACUUUGAAGCAAAACACUGAAAUAACUUCAUAAGUGUGUGAGUGUGUGAGCGAGUGUGUGUUUGGCGUCUGCUCUCAGUUGCAUUUCAUUCCAGCCUAAUGCCUCUGAACUUGUUGGGUGUUCUCAUAUUUUCAGCUUUUUUUCUGUGUGCACACCCUUGGUCAUAUUUCAUCCUCUGUUGUGUGCACGUUUGGUGUGUGUGUGUGAGUACAUGAAUGCUCGCAGAAUGUGGCGCUGUGCCUGCAGCCGCUCCACUCUGAGGUUGUUUCUCUGCCUGCAGGUCUGCAUCUAGUUAGUGUGGUGCAGAGUGUUAAAGCGAUCAUUAACCUCAAACCAAACAACAACAACACAAUCCACCACGACACCACAAGUCCUCUGUCUGCUGGCACAGCACACUUCACACACCCUUUCAAAUGUCAGCCUGAUCAAAGGCAGACAUGAGAAAUGUUUAAAGGGCGGGGAAAGGCGCUGACGGGGCGCAUAUGCUCCUAACUUUGAGAGAUUAUGUUUAUAAACCACUAAUUUGCAAAAAUUUGAGAGAGAUUUAAUGCCAAUAAAUGUCACAGAAAGGCAUGUAAUAAAUUUAUCUGGCAUGUAAAAAAAAAAGAUGAUACUAUUCAUACCAGCUGAAUAUCCAGAGACAGUGUAUUUCAUUUGUUUUCCUAAUUUUUCCACUUGUGUUAUUCAUCUCAGGAGCAGUGAUACCAUCAGAUGACAUCAUCAUCUAAUUUGCAUAAUGUCUCAGUCAAACCCGGCUACCCAUUGAGAAGUGUAUCAUCAAUACCUGCUUUCAUGUUAGAGUUUCUAAAGUCCAGAAAAAGUCGCUAGAUUUAUCACUAGGCGCUUUUUUGAAAAUAAGUUGCGAGGGGGGUCUGAAAAGUCGCUAAACCUAUCUAGGUUGGCAACUUUGCUAAGGAGCCUCAUUUGUCCACAGAGCUGUCAAUCAUAGCCUAAUAUCCCUUCUAACACAUAUAUGCUUUCUGUCAUUUGACCAACAGGAUCAUAAACAAAAGUCAGUCUUCAAGUGGUAUCACCUGUUGUUCUUCCUUGAGCUGCUUCACCCCGCUACAGUCCGUAAUGGACUGGCCCGAGGUCUCGCUACAAACAAGCGGCUGCUUGAAGAGAGUAGGAGAGUUGUGUUUGGUCUCUUUGAUAAAGAAAUCAGGCAAAGUUAAAAAGAUGUUUGAUGGCUAGUACUAUGGCUGGGACCCUAUAUGUACUGUUGAUGAAGUUAGGUGCUGUUCUGAGCAUUAUUUGUGGCUAUAGAGUGGCGUUUUGGUUGAGCGUGUGGCUCCUGGGACCGCUGUCUAUUGCUAUCGUGUGGUCUCUACUUAAGUUGGUAAAACUAGAGAAGUAAGCGGUCGGCAACAUUCAUCUCUCGAGGGGGUGUCAAACUUGGUGUUAUGAUGUGUUUGACCUUAACUUAAUUUUACGCCGGAAUAUCCCUUUUAAUAUUACUUACUUUCAAUCUCCCAUGAGAAGUUGCGCCAAAUUGACGCAAACUCAAAGUUCUUCUCAAGAGCUUCAACCCAAGUGUAUUUUAACCCUGACCUUAACCAUACUGCUGUGUUUUUGUACCAAAGUCCUGAGGGGUGUAAACCCUCCAUCCCACCUAAUCUUCUUUACACUCAUUCGUUGGGAUUAAUGUUCCCAAUAAAUAAAGUCCAAUAAUACUUCUUGUUUUCUAUGUAAGCAUAAAUCACUAAUGAAUAUCAGUGUAUAGGUGUGACUUCAAGUAGAAAGGGAAAGCCAACAUGUCAAGUCAGGAUGUGGGAAACAAGGUUGUAGAAACACACAAAAACCAGUUUUGUGAGCCAUAGAAGAAGUAUUGUGAUAUCACUUCCCUUCCUAAAUGAGGUUUAAUUCCUUUAUUAAGCAUCAGCAUGCGCCAAGUUGCAAUUAUCACUCCAUGGUGCAGCCAUAACUCUGGAAUACCGCUGCUCUUAUUUUCCAAGCUUGCAAACGGCUCGUCCAAAUACAGGCUCAUCAGUGAGUCAUGAGCGAGGAAAGACUCCCGUCACCCCCUGCCAGCAACAUUCAUAGAAACCGCCAUGAAGGAAAGAGGAGAUUUAGUUCCUUGAUUUUUGCUGCUGUUAAUUGUGGACGCAGUGUUAAGGACGCACACACUCUGGCAGGGGUUUCCAUAGAGUACUUCAUGUUGUAUCGUCAUAGGGCCAGCCCGAUUCCCUGAUGUCUGCCGUCAUCAGAUUAACCUUUAACCUGGGCGACGGCAGGGUGCGGGUGCCAGGUGGCCAUGCAACACACAACAGCUUCAGGUCAGUUGUAUUUAUGCUUGUAAGUUUGUGUUGAAGGGUUGAAUCAUAGUCCCUUUUUCCCCAGGGUUGUUUCCACUUCUGAGCCCCUCCUCAUCCUCAUGUCUCUCAAACCCUCACCUCUCUCCUCCCUCCUGCCUGCAGUGACUCAUUGCGGUCUGUUAGCACUCACACCCACAAAACCUGGGCUGGAGGAUGGGUUUGGGUGGGUGGGGGUGACGGGGUGCAGUGUGGGGGUCAGCUGGUGGGUAACGGGUGUUUCCCUUUAUAUUCUGGAUGGCUGCACAUGGACCAGCGAGUGUGUCGAGCGACCUCUGGAAGGCUUUUGCAAGGUGUGGACAUUAUGACUGGAUUUAGCUGUAAUGACAGUUUUAGUCCACACCGCUUGCACACACACACACACACACACACACACACACACACACACACACACACACACACACACACACACACACUCACACACAGAAAAACAGCUGCUGGAACACUUAGUGGUGAAGCCAUAUUUGCUGAAAUCACAGUGACAAGCGGUAUUAACCCUAAACGUCAGCGUCAAUUUGACCAAGAAGAGCACAGCACGUUACGCCGCUCAGGCCAAGGUUUGGUUUGGCUGGAUCCCACAGGGAAGGAAACCCUACUCUGCUUUUUAAAUGCGCUGACUUUAAUCAUGUUUUAAAUUUCGUUUUAUUAUGCAUUUAAAGAAGCUUUGUUUCGCUGUGUGUUUUACUGUUACUGCCUGUGAUUUGUCAGGGUUAAUGUGACUUUACUGUAUCUGAUUGUAGAAAUAACUCACCUUUAUGAGACUUGUCUUGUGAUACAGUUGUCUCCGGUGAGAUUUAUAUCUUCUACACAUGUCAGCAUGCCAUCGCAUGGUUCUCAGAUCAUGUCCAUGCAAAGACAGCUGGAUUUGAAAACACAUCCUCAUACCCCAAGGUGGCCUGUACACAAAUUCUUGUAUUUUCCAGGUAGUUUAAUUCAAUGCCAACCGGCAAGCUAAAUACAGUGUUAAGGCUAGAGUUGCAAAAUUCCGGGAAUUUUCAAAGUUGGAAACUUUCCAUGGGAAUUAAUGGGGAAAUAUGGGAAAUAAUGACAAUCAACGGUAACAAAUCUGAAAUUUACAAAACUGAAGGUUGGCCCUCAACAGGGAACUUAAAUAUAGCUGGGUAAAAUAUAUUGUAGCAUAAUCACCCCCUACAUGCACUUUGCAUUCCUCUGUCACAUGCACAGAUGAUUUCUUGAACCCUGGAGGCCGAACUUUUGAGCCCAAAGCACAAGACAUUUGAGUCCACAGACUUUUUAAAGUCAAGUAAGUUUUAAUAUUAUGGGGUAAAUAUAUUUGAUCUAUAAUAGUAUUAAUAUUUAACUUGCAAAAAUUAAAUAAAAAUAGGUGCUAAAUGUAAGCUAUUCUUCAUUUCAUUGACUAUUUAAGGGACUCGUUUAUUAUGAUGGUGGUAUCUACCUCAAAUGUGAUGCUGUUUCUUCAGACUCCUGCAAGACGUUUUUCUAUAACCAUAUAAUAAUUUAUACAUCAAUUGUCAAAUAUCUGAAAGACCAUUCCAGUUGUUUAGCCAACUAUUUUUCUGUUCAUGCCAUUGUUCAUUGCCAUUAUUUGUAUUAUUUUGCAUGGAUGUCUGCUUAUGACAAAACAAAAAUUUUUACAUUUAUGUUUGGAUAUGAUGCAGUUUGUUUAAAUUACCCCCAAUUUCCAGUUAAUUCCCAUAAAUUCCCAAUAAUUGCCAUAUAUUCCCAUAAUUCCCAUAUUUCCCAUGGAAAGUAUUCAAGUUGGAAUAUUUCCAAAAUUCCCAAGCUUAACUUCCCGUGAAAAGUUUCUGGAAAUUUUCCGCCCCUUUGCAACCCUAGUUAAGGCACAGCUAAACAUGGGAUCACAAUGUCUGCAGGCAAACGAACGCGAAAGUCUUAGAGAGAGGGCUAAAGUUAACAGAGCAAGCCGUCAGUCCUUCUUGCAGGGUGAAGUUCACAUGUUUAAGAUGGCUAUGCAUUGCUCCAGUUGAGUGGUUAUACUUCCACUUUACCACAGCUUCCAUGCAACUUGAUCUCCAUUUUCUAGAUCAAAAUACUGUAAACCAUGCUGCGCUGUAUGAUACCACCAGUCAUCAGUACUUGCUACAGCAGGUUUAUAGUAUUAUAGCAGAUACCAGUAACUGGAACAGCAGCCCGGCUAAUGGUAGGGGGCUGCACUAACAGCAUAGACACAACAUAAGACCAGUAGUUAGCUGACUAACUACACACAAUCCUAGGUUUGACUUUAUGUUGAAAUGCUUUAGUUUUGGUGGGGUUGUUGUUGGAACCUAAAUGUAAUCAGGUUCAAUGUAUUCUGCAUCGUUUUAAAAAGAAGUAUUUGUAGGUGAUACAGUCUUUUUUUAUAUGCUAUAGUAUUUCAUCUUUUUCUUAUUUUGGUAUAACUUGUGUUUAUCUGGCAUGGUAGUGUAAAAAUAUGUUCUCCUUUGAUUGCCUUAUCAUAAAUUGAUCCUGCUAGCUUCAUGAUUUGCGCUCUGUUGUCAUAACAUACCAUGUGGGAACCUUUCGGAGGUUACCAGAUUCCUGUGCCUGUUAGUUUUUUGUGGACUAAACUACGAUGUGAUUGUUUCUUUAUGUAUUCAGUAAACUUGCAAAAGAUGAGGUGAUUAAUCUUGAUAAGGCUUCCCUUGUUAAAUGAAAUAAAUAUCCCUCUCUGCGCGUACAUGCAGAUCUUUUCAUAUCAGUGUAAGGCCUCAGGGUGGUAACAGUGGAGCUCAAUUAACACUUACAAAACACCACUUAGCACCAAGCGAAUCAGCCACGGGGAUGUGACACACAUUGCUGGAAAUAGUUCUCCUUACUCUGACUGAUGACACAGUAAUGUGUGUGUGUGUGUGUGAGCUUGUGUGUGUGACUACGGGAGAAUGGAGACUGUCAACACUGCUUUUGUUAACAAACAGCCGGAGGGGACACAUGUGAAGGGGAGAAAUGCUAUGCACAGGUUUUCAACGGCAGGGUUAGAGCUGAAAGAUCUGAUAAUUCAAUCAGACUGUAGACCUCAGUUACAGGUUGGGACAUAUUGUGAAAUGUUGAUUAAAAACAGAAUUUAAUGGUUUGUUAAAAAACAUAUGGAUUUUAAUUGAAAUAGUUUGAGAACAACAGUCAAAUGUUGAGAGAAAUAAAUUCGCAUGUUUCAGAAAAGUUUGGACGGGGACAACAAAACACUGACAAAUAUGAAUAUGCUUAAAAAAAGACACCUGUAGGAACAUCCACGCUACAUGAUAUUAUAAUGUUUAUAGAGCUUGGAGAAAUCUUUGUACAAAAGAGAGAGUAAAAACUUAAAUCAGUGAUCUCUGUGCCUUGAAAACAGACAUUGGUGGAAAUGACAAUCACUCCCCAAAACCAACGUCUGUGAGCAGAGUUUGUUGCUGCUUCAACAUGUAUGUGAAAACUGAACUAUUUAAGGAGAAACCAUUUAUAAACAGGGUCCAGAGACACCAGUAACUGGGCCUGAGCUCAUUAAGGAUGGACUGGAGCAAAAUGGGGAACUGCCGUGUGGUCUGACAAAUCUAAAUUUGGCAUUCCUUUUGGAAAACAUGGAGGCUGCAUCCUCGGCUCUGAGAGGGGAGGGACCUCCUGGCUUUUCAUCAACUCAAAAGUUAGCACCCCUAGAGAUACAUGCAUUUGAUCAGACUUAUUUAAUAUAAUAGAACCUUGAUUACUGUUGGGUUAUUAAAAGCCUUGGCUGACUUACUCAACACACAAGGGAUCUAAGUUGGCUCUGCUCCUGGAGAAUCAGAACAGAUGCUAAGCCAUUAGCGACUACGGAUGUGGUCAACUUUACUGCGUAAUUUAAGAAAUGCAAAGAAAGCCCAACCCAGUGUGUAAGUGAAUGCAACAGUAGGUUCUCUUUCACUUAUAUUAACCCCAACCUGUUACUUCUGCUGCCCCUCACCAUAACUUAAGCUCAAACGGAGACAGGAGACUCUACAGAAACAUGUUUUCAAUGUCAGUGAAACACUAUAUGAGAGGGAAGCACGCUUGAACUCGGCACUGGGACUGACUGUUUAAUUUUCCGCCUUUCACGAUCAUUUCAGAGAUCGUGUUUGCGUGUUUCUCUAAUAAAAAUGCCAAACUGUAUGAUAUCUGACUCGAAUAUUUAAGAUCAGAUUUGAACUAAUAAGAUAAUCCUGGAAAGCCAGCCCUCUGAAAAGAGAAAAGAAAAUAAUGUCACAUUUUUUACCCACUGAGCCAUGACUAGAUCAUCUAGAAUAAAGUGACACAUUUUGCUGAAGUGCCAAGUCUUAGUUGACAUGUAUUCUCUUGUGCCUAAGGUUGAACAAUCUUGUGUGUUUGUCAUGUAUGUGUGUUCAUUGUUUUUAUGUCAGACAAGCUGUUAGCGGCGACAGGGCUACAGUGAGGAAACUGGUACACUAAUACCAUGUGACAAGGGUAUUCAGAGUCGACCCAGCCGCAAACUUUCUCUCCUUUUUCUGUUGUUUUUCACAUCAUUUUCUCCGCCUCUCUCUGAGCUCAGUUGACAGCGGUUGUGUGGAAGGACAGCCCUCCAGUGUUAUUUUUCCAUGUCACUGUGAAGCACUGUCAUCCAUCCAGACUCAGCCGCUCUUGCCAGCAGUCACCAGCCGUGAUUCCUUUGACAUGCUUUUGGUCAGCUCAGGGUUUCAGCACAAUACUUCAGCAAUGUGAACCUAAUGAUCUGCUGGUGCCACACAUUUUUAAGCCAGCUAUGCGGACCUUGGUCUGAUUUGAAAUGAGCUAAUUAGCUCUGUAUUCUUAGCUGAGGAGUCUAAGGAAGGAUUAGGAGGAAAGGGGCAGGAGGGGCAUUUGUGUGUGUGUGUGUGUGUGUGUAUGAGUGUAUGGGGUGGGUGAAAGUGUAGCAGAGUUGGGUUGUUGAAAAGCAGGAGAAAGUGAUGGGGAAGGAAGAAGGAAAGAGGGUCAAACAGAGGGUGACGUUUUUGUGGGUGUCUGAGUGGGGGGAAACAGCCCGAUAAUUAGCCCGUUAAUCAUCUGCUUUGAAUCACUGACGGAGCCCCAGAAGCCUUCAGGUUACACACAUCUGUGUGUGUGUGACUGUGUGUCCAGGUAUGCUGAGUACCUCUGCACAGUUGGUGACCCCAUAAAGACCCGCCUGCAGGUCCUCCACAGCCAUAACUCAGAGCUGUGACCAACCUCACAAAGAGCCUGACAGAGCUGAUCUAUGCUACUAAAGCAGACAGCAGAUUCAUGUGCAUCAAUAUUCUACAGACCAAUGACCCACAGACUCCAUAAAGCUCCUCGCAAAGUGCUCCGGUGCAGAUCUGAAGUUACAGUCAUUUCAGCAAAAAUUUUACUUCACAAAAAAAACUUUGAUAUGUUCCAGAAACAAGCUGCAACUAUUUUUUCAAAAACAACUUUGGCAACACUUUAAAAUAAAUAUCCAUCAAAACUAGUUAAUAGAUUGUUAUUAAUGACUUGUUAAAUGUUUAACAGUUUGUUAAGGAUUUCUAAUGAUGCCUUAUAGAGUUAUAUAUGAUUAAUAAACUGUUAGUUAAUAAGCUAUAAAUGACUUGUUAACUGUAUGUUAAUGAUUUAUAACUAUUCCUGAUAAAUAAGUAAUAAAUGAUGAGCAAGCUUUUAGUAAAUUACUUAUGAGUUAAUAGUUCAUGUUAUUGGGACAUUACUCUAAAGUUUACUAACAUUUACUAACUGUUAGUACAUGAGGAAUAGUUUCAACUUUUAAAUAACGUUCCAAUAACAUAAAUAAACUAUUAACUGAUAUUUAACAAGUCAUUUGAAAGUAAUUUACUAAAAGCUUGUUCAUCAUCUAUUACUUAUUUAUAAGGUGUAAUUAUAAAUUAUUAACAUACAGUUAGAAAGUCAUUUAUAACUCAUUAACUAACAGUUUAUUAAUCAUAUAUUAACUCUAUAAGGCAUCAUUUUAAAUCAAUGUAAGUGUUUACAAACACUCAACAAGUCAUUCGUGACUUUUUCAUUAAGUUUACUAAUACACUUAUUUAUUCUUUUGCGUUAUUGUAUUUCUGCUUGCGUUAUCUUGUUUUUUGAUUGUUUUAUUUGUUUUUAUGUCACUGUACAGCACUUUGGCUACCCUUGUGGUUAUUUUAAAUGUGCUAUAUAAAUAAAGUUGAUUGAUUGAUUGAUUGAUUGAUCUAUUAACUAGUUGUAACGGAUAGUUAUUAUACAGUGUUACCACAAGUUCACUCAGUACAGUUAUAAAGUCUGAUGACCUUUUCAAUUAAUUUAAUUCACCAAUGUAGUUCAGGAGGCACAGUGACAGCACAUUUACCUGCUGUUCAAAAUAAAUUGAUCUGAUUGAUUUUGGACCAAUUUGGCUUUGGAAGAUACACGUUAGUCUGAAUGAAACUUCACCAAAUCGCCAAAUAUUAUGUGGACAGUGUGGUUGGGAAUCGAUUUUCUUUUCCAUUUAUAAAACCUCCGUCAGACUGUAACUAGCAUUGGUACUUUGUGCAUGCACCACAAUUUGCAUGUGGGGCUGUCCUAAAAGGUCAACAGCAAAAAUUCAUUGUCAGGAGGAAGGAUAUUAUACAGGACAAAACUGUUGAAUCAAACAUAGAAAAGGUACAUCAGCCUCUUCCUACUGUGUAAGACAAUGUAGAAGCCAUGAAAACACAUGGUAAAUUUAGAGAGAGAGAAUUCUUUGUGAUUCUUGUUCACACUUCUAAGACCAUUACCGAUUCUUUUAUCAUGUCUACUUGUAGUAUUAUGGCCUGAGAAGGAGCAAGAAGAUAAAAAAAAGUGAAGUAAACCCUGAAACCUUGUUUUUCCUCUCAGGCCAGUCCAUCAGAACAUUUUUCCCCUUUGGGUGCGACAGGGGUAAAGGUUAAAACCCUUCAUAUAUCACAGUAAUAGCCAGACCACCUCUCUUCCUACAUUUCCAGUGUCAAAAGUGACUAUCGCUCAAAGCACUUUACAUGCAACACGUGGACCAAAGAGGGUAAAAGAAAAAAUCUAGGCUUCAAUGUUGGUCAGUCGGUAAACUGUGGAAAUGUCUCAUCAGUUUAAGUUGGACUAAUAAACAAGGUAAUAAUUGGAGGAGGUAGUAAUAGUUAAAAAAAUUUUAACAGUUGUUUAUUUAUGCCUCGAUGGCAAAGUGAAUUCAACAAGUGCGACAACUGUCUCCUUGGCUGUCCUUUUAUACCUGCCCUCUCUCGCUUUGCGCUCUCACACAUUAGGUGCCAAAUAUAACACAAGCGUUGCCUCUUUAAGUUAAUGUGCUGUUCUGUUUGUGUAAAGCUGCGACAUCAAAGUAAGGGACAUCUCUAUGUGAACGACGUAAAGGCAUCACUUUUACAGACAACCGAAGCCCGCAGUGUUAAACAGAAUCUACUGCUUCCUUCUCCGUCAAAGUGUGCCUGUGUGUGCAAGUAAUUGUCUCAAGUUUGUGCCAUAUUUUACGUCUGAAAGGGCUUUUGGCGAAAUGUUGCGGUUUGAACGAAGUGAACUCUUGAGCUAAAUAGUGCUAUUCACACAAAGAGCCACAGGUUAAAGUUGGCCAAAGAUGCCCAGCAGCAGCUCAAUCAGGUGUGUCAGGACCCUCAGACAGAGGUGAGUUAUUUUAGUAUCCAUCAUUCACCCCUACAUGACCCCGCACCCCUCCCUCUGUAACAGUAGCUCUUGUUUUAGCAGCCAUAAUGUCCUGACCAACAUGCACCUCUUGUCUUUCACAUCUGGAGCUGCCUCAGGAUGUGCGCUGAAGCUGACUAGUGUUGGCAGGCCUCUUUGACUGGUCAUUGGCGUGCUUAUGUGUGUUUGAUCACAGGAAUGUGUGCGUGUGUAUGUGCGCGCACUCUCACCUUGCUGUGGGCGAGACAUUACAGUGAGGGUUGAAGAGGCUGUUUUGAGGUCACACGCCUCCGCGGUCGCACAACUUCUCUGCGAGGCGUUUUGAGGUCAGCUGCAGUGUUUCCCUGUUUCGGCGUCUGUAAGGAGACGUUAAGAUCAGAUUUGGAGAUUCGAAGGGAGGAGAAGAAGGGGUGAAGGAGGGGGGGGGCAAGGGCUGGAAGGCCCUGACGCAGGUAGGGAUGCAUUCAUCCAGCUUUUUAAGACUCGAUAAAAGUACAUGUGACACAAAUUUAUCACCCUGUGAAAUCCGUACACUAGGGCUGCACGAUUAAUCGAUUUUAAAUUGUAAUCAGAUUAUUUGAUCAUGAGGAUGUUGAAUAAAAUAAAAUGGUCAAAUUGACUUUCCUCUCUUUUAUGUCUCAUACCUCCAGGCCACUGUAGACUCCCCUUUCUUGCAGGAGUGCUCCCCAGUUUCCACACACACCAGUGUAAACAAACAUAACGUCUGCAAAAGAAGGCAAUAAUUUCAUGGCUGAAUAGGGCAAGAACAGGUCAGUCGUGUGAAUUUGGUACGGCUUCUCAGUUUCAGAUGAAGAGCAAACCACUUCCCGCUGCAAAGUCUGUCUGAAGGCAGUAUCAACCUGUUCACACGGAAACGAAAGGAGGAGUAAACGCAGAAGUUUUUUGUCGUAUCGGCUUUUACGGAUGACUGUAAACAGUACUUAAUGAUUGAAUCUGCCCGUGACCAGCCAAAACAAACUAUACGCAUGCUCUGUACUCUUCUUCUGUCUUCGGUGCAUUUCCACGGCAGCGUUACAGCACCACUAACUGGCUCGGCAUAUGUACUUCAUCGGUUUCAGUGGUUUCGUUUUUAGAGAUGAUUGAAAAACUUAGAGUGAAGUUUGGUGAAGUUGUCACUGAAUCGAAAUCGAAAAUCGAGUUUUCAGAGAAAAAAAUCUGGACUUUAUUUUUGGCCAAAAUCAUGGAGCCCCACUGUACACCUGCAAUGGUUUCUGUGAUAGUCAAUCACAUUCUACUCACUGGUGAAUCAGACAGAUCUGUUGGUUUAUUUGAUCUAAUCUGAGUUGGGUUUACAUGUAAUGCACUCAAUAAUGUUUACUGUCGUGAGUCACCGAGAAGGCUAAAGCUGAUGUUACGUCCUCCGAAUACACAACUCUUGGGCAAAAUAGACUGUAAGCCAGGUCUUUGCUUCCUCAGUCAUGUUAUUCCUGACAUCUGUUUGAGAUAUUAGGCUUGUAGUCUCAUGAAUUUAAAACUACAAUCAGCUACCUAGCCUUGCAGUUUACUACUUUGUCGUACAUUUUGUCAAUGUGAUUCAUCGCAGGUUUAUCCAGCGGCUUGUUCAAGCGAAAUUUUGUUUUGUGUCUGUUAAAAAAUGCUUUACGCUGAUCUGUUCGUCUGAAAAUUAAUUGUAAUAUUGGAUCAAUGAUAACAUAAAAAAAUUGACUGAAAAAAAGAUAGUUUACAACUAUCUUCAAAGGAUUUAUUGAGGAAAUGUGAUAAAAAUGCAGGAUCUAAGUACAGGACUGGAUGACGUAUCACAAGAGUUAUGCUCUCUUUUUGUAGUCUGUGAAAAUUCAUUCUCUUGCAACUCAAGGCCAUGGCCAUGUAGAGGAAAACCGUCUGUGGGGAACAAGAGCAGUGGAACAGGCUGAGCAAUGCAGAUCCCAUCAUGGGUCACAUGACCAGGAUGUAGCUUUGAUCAGCGUCUGAAGAUAGAUACCUGAAAGAAGUGCGUCUGUGUUUGUCACGGCACAAAUCCAGCUCCAUUUUUGCUUUUCAAGUCACUUGCUGGCGUGAAUACAAAAUCAAUAUUUGAAAACGACAUUGUGCAGCCAUUUGAAACAGGUGUUCAACAAUUUUGCUUGACUUUGACAAGAACUAGGACAACAUUUCUUUUUUGUACACCUUUGUCUUUUUUGCCAAAAAUACAAGACAAGAUGCUUGUUACUCGUUUCUUUGAUUCAAAGCUCUUCAAUACAGUUCAGUCUCCUCCUCCUCCACCUCCUCUCUCUCUGCUCUAGAUCUGUUUUUUCCAUCACCCCGUGUCUUGUAGGAAUCUGACAAAGAUAUUAUUAAUGCGAUAAAGACUUUUUGCUUCCUCCUCCUUUGGCCUGUAAUAAAAAACUCUGUGUAAACAUGGCAGAGCGGUCCAGAUCAUACACUAUGCAGAUCCCUCUCUUGUUCCCUGAUUUUCAUCUCUAGCUCAGUGUGUGUGGUGGAAAUCUAAGCCCCAGCAGGGUUUUAUUCAUUGCAAAAAAAUGCACGGGUGAAUGAUUUGCUAAAAGGUUGCUGCAGCCAAGCACAUAAACACUUAUGAACACAAAUGCACCUGAGGACACUGGCAUAGAAAAGAGACUUCAUGCCACAUAAAUAUGAAAAAAUAUGACCCACAAAUGCCUCAAAAAUGCUCAUGCAGUCAGUUUUGAUGUGUCUGAGAGCCAUCUGUGACACCAGCUGAGGUCUUCUGUGUAUAAAGUGUAGACAGACAUGGGAGCUCUGUCUGAUGCUUUUCUAGUAAGUCAUACUGUCCCAGUUUGGAUCAAAGCUCGUUUCAUUUACUUCCUUUUGAAUGGAGAAAGUUAACAGACCUGAUAAUGAUGUUUGAAAUAUCUGUGGUUUAUUUCCAUCUUUCUCUUCAGUAUCCCUCGUUUUGCCACGGUUCUCUUCCUGCAGCUGGCAGAAUUAUGUCUUCCAAGCUCAGAGAUGUGACUGACGAUAUUUUAGGAGAUUUAGAAUGGGAUCUCUGUGUUUGUGUACAGUGGAGGUACUUUGCUUCGAAGCCUCAACAUUCCUGAGUGACACUGUUCCCACAACUUUGCUCAAAAAACCAAACGUCACAUCCUUUCUGCCCUUCUAAGGACAUCUCUGAACUCUCAGAUGAACGGGUGCAGACGUGUAAACGUAGAACUUAGAACAAUAAAGACAAAUUUAAUGGGACAAAGAAACCUUUGAGGAAACAGAAGGUCGUUCUGCAUGCCUGAAAGUUGGAGAGGGAAAUGUUUGGGAAUUGUCAAAGACUUAACUUUUGGACUUUGACACAUAUGAACCAAACAUCACCUGAGCAUGUAAGCAGCAACAGAGUCAAAAGACGAACACCCAAACAUGUUUUAGGGGUGUAAUCACAUUUCUUGUGUCAUAACAAGUUUUUAUUUUGAGCUGAGAUGGAUCCUCAUAUUUUUAUAUUUCAGUGCAUUUGGGGCAGGGGUUGGCCUGCAGCUUUUUCAAAUGUAUGGAGGCUUAAAGGGAUAUUCCACUGUAAAAUUAAGUUAGGGUCUUCUUUGGUUGAGUUGAGUAGGUGAGUUGUGUUUAGUCUCUUUGCUAAAGAAAUUAGGCAAAGUUAAAAAGAUGUUUGGUGGAUAGUGUGAUGGCUUGGACCCUAUAUGUACUGUUGAUGAAGUUAGGUGCUGUUCUGAGUAUUAUUUGUGGGUAUAGAGUGGUGUUUUGGUUGAGGUUUGUUUAUGGCUCCUCAGACCGCUGUGUAUUGCUAUCGUGUGGUCUCUACUAAAGUUGGUAUAACUAGAGAAGCAAGCGGUCGGCAACAUUAAUCUCUCAACGGGGUGUCUAACUCGGUGUCACAGUGUGUUUGACCCUAAAUUAAUUUUACAUCAGAAUAUCCCUGUAAGACCUUCUGAAUCCCUUGUUGCAUGUUCCCCUCUCUAAUCUCUGCUCCUUACAUCCCCCUGUCCCUCUUCAGCUGUCCUAUCAGUACAGGGAAAAUAGAACAAACUAUACCAUACAUUUUCAGUGAUCAAGGUUGAUUGAAACAAUUUUUUUAAUUUUAUUUUCUAAUCAUUUUAUUAAUCCAGAAAGUGAAGUGUUUGUUUCACCACCACAGUGACUGUAGAGGAUUUUUAAUUGCACUUUUGGGCCAAUGUUCUCUUGGUCUUUGGGUAACGGGCCAGCCUGUCACUGCUUUCUGGAGGAGUUACUAGAUUUCUGUAACAAAAUAUAUUCAGUCCCUCAGAAUCACACCAAUCUGAAAGUAGUCAAACCCACUUUGGCCAACUUAAAGAUCUCCAACAAAUGGAAAAGAAAUACAAAGUAGCAGUGGCUGUUUCCAGCUCUAGCACCGAUACAACAGUGGGUGCUAUAGUGCCAAUUUGAGAGCUGCAGAGAGUUUACCAGAGGCAAUCCAAAACUAAAUGGAAUAUUAACAAAUCCACUGAAUUUACAAAACCUUAGAUAGAAGACCAAGGCUUUCACUAGCUAACAGUGUUUUUGGAAGAGUUUCUUGUGUCAGCGCUCCUGAUAUGAUCCCGGCACACAUUUACAGUCUGAUCAGAAAAGUCCGUCCACAGACAUUUGGACAUCUAGUCCAGUGAGUGUUGUUAGUUUGACAGCCGAGUGGUUCCAUGAAGACUUCAUGGUGAAAAGCCAUUAUUGUGUACACAAGAGUGCUCCAUUUGGCAAUUGAAGAGUGACACUCAUGACAAGUGAUUUUAUUUUUGGUAAUAGUUAGGACCUUGGCAUUUAUUGUAAUGUAGGGCCCCUCAUCACUCAGGAAAACAAUAUAUAAACCACAUUUAUUGGUAAACAAAACAAAAAAACACUUAAACAACAGAUUGUUUAAAAAAAAGUUGCAUUGACUUCCAGUUUCAUUUGAUAGGUAAACUCCUGCAGCGUCUUGUGCAUUAAAGUCAACCAACUACUAGACCUUCAUAGGCACUUAUUCGACAACACCAACUUCAACUGUGGUUUAAUAAAGGGGUAUCAACAUUUUGAUUUCAGGAGUAAUGCUGCAUUCGAGUUACCUCGGAAGUCAGAUGUCGGAGCUGGGAAUGACAUCACACCUGAGUUACCAGCGCUUCAGUUACCAGAUCGGAAAAAAGCAAAAUCGGAGAUGAAAACAAGAUGGCUACAUCUACGCAAAUUAUUUUAGCACUUGCCUUGUCUGUAAAAAGCAACUUGUGGACAAAUAGGCGGUCCUUCUGCAACAUCUUUUUUUCCGCCUCUGAUUUCGCUUUUUUCCGACUUGGUUACUGAAACGCUGGUAACUCGGGUGUGAUGUCAUUCUCCGACAUCUGACUUCCGAGGUAACUUGAACGCAGCAUAAGGCCCCCUACAGACCGUUAAGUACUGUCACUGGAUUUUUAUUGAUGAAUUUACAAAAUAAGAUUUUUUGGUCCUCUUUGAUUAUCCUGGAUUCCUACAAGUUUUGUCCAAAUAUGUUCCCUUUGCUCCUAUAAAUUCAUUCCUCAGUCAAAUUCUUUCUUUUUCUUAAACUACUUUCUUCUGUACAUCACUUUGAUUUUUCUCCUUAUGUAAUGAGACAUUACUUAAUGAUGGCAUUCAGUUCUAACACAUAAAACAUAAAGGGCCACAAAAAUGCAACUGUUGAAUUUGUGGUUAAGGCAGAAAUAACCCUAAUGUGUUAUUUAAGAAAUUUAUUCCUCGGCAGACGGCACAGUGGGAAUAAACAAUGUUCAUGCUGCAAGGCUUUUGAGGCUUUGUGGAGGUUGUUAAUCCAAAGUAAUGAUUAAGUUGUUUUCCCUUAAAUUCAAAACCUGAAAUCACAGUGUGCUGCUUUACCUCCCUGAAUAUAAUACUGCUCGCUUCUCUGAGUAAUCGUCAGACAUUUCCUGACUUUAUAGUAAAGGCAGCUGGUCUCCAGUUUGAGUGUGUGUGUAUGUGUGUGUGUGAGUGUUACAGUGGCAGCAGAUGAUAGUUUUGUGUAACGAUACCCCUGUGUAUCUCUCUACACACGCACACAAUCUCUUACACACACACUACCAUACGUAUUUUUCCACCCUGUGUGACUGUCCAAGUGGUAGAAGGUGCCAAUAGCCUUAAAACCACAGGAAAAUUGCAUUUCAGAUUCAUAAAUUCAAUAGUAAUAUGAAUAACAGCAGAUUGGAGGCAGGGAGAGGGUUGUUUUCCCCACGAUGAAAUAAACGAACUCAAUGUAAAGAUAAUGACUUUUUCCACAGUUGAACUGUGCCGCAAAUUGCAUCUCACGUUACCAGACAAAUAGGCAGUUAAAAUAAAGUUGCACUUGAACCUUGCAUGGUCAUUUCAUUUUUUAAAUGGGUUACUCCCGAGAGUGUCUUCAAGUUAUUCAGCGGUCAGUAAAUGUGAGCGGUGAGGAAAUGUACGCAGAGAGAGCUGUUUGUGGUCGGCUUAUUACCCUUAAGUUAGAGGCUCAACGGUGACUUUGCAUUAGCGUUGAAUUUUCCUUUCUUGUCUGAGAAAAUACCCAUGAUGCACUAAUUCAUACACAGACACAGACACAUUCAUGCAAAGUCAAGGACCAGAUCUUGGCGGUGGUGGUUGUUCUCAUAACACUGUUUCAUUGCUGGCAUUUUUCGGUGGUUCUAAAUCCGGGUGCAUGUUUGUUGAUGUAGAGGGUGGAAUGGGUGUGUGUUUGUGUGAGUGUGCGCGCAUUAUGAAUAAAAGUCAUAAGCUAUCCCUAGUCAUUCCUCGUCAUAGCGUCUUUAUUUAUUUGCUUAAACCAGUGCCUUGAUUUCCGAGAACUUGAUCCUCUGUAAGUCUUUCCCUCUUUCUCUGCUCACUCUGUGUCCUGAUCUCUGCUUCUGCAUCCCUGCUCUGCUGUUAUCAGGUAUCUACGGUAUACUGAGCCCCCAGACAGAGGGAAACCCUUAGAUGGCUGCUACCUUUACUGACUCUUUAAAUGAUAGAGUCCCAACAUCUUGAAGUUGAUGUUUGACAUUUAUAAAAUACAUGUUUUCUCAGUCCAAAAGAGUGGAUCAGCAGAUUUUUGAUACGGUCAGGUCUGUAAACUGCCUGUCAAACCGAUUAAUUUGGGACGACUAUACUGUGUGAAUUUUUGAAAACAAAGAAAACUUUUUUUUUUUAAUUUCAUCACUUUGCAGAAUAAAAAACAACCAGUUUAACAAAGCAGUCUGUGACAUUUGGCACAUGAAUGCUCUAUAGCACUCUUUCUGCUAAAGAAUACAUUUUGAAUGGUCUGCGUAACAUUUGCAAAUAACAUGGCGGGAAAAUAGGAACCUCUAUUUCAACUCGAACAAACACCCUUUUUUGACAUUUGUGACUGAAAUGCUACAGCAGUUUAUGAGAACUUAAACAGCAUAUGAAGACUCGAACUCAAGUCAAGUGGAGUUUAGAUUUUAAAUACUUAUAAAUGGACUAAAAAUUGAAUGUAAUGCUUCAUGUCUUUUACUUGAGACAUGUCUUGGUGAGCGCCGUCUUUAUGGCGUCUUUAUUUUCUUCAAAAUCUUCUCCAGAAGACGUUGAUCUUUUUGAUCAUCAGCAUCAUACAGUAUAUCAGCUUUCCAUGUAAGCAUAACCUUUCCUCUUGUUACCUCCGCCAAGGAGGUUAUGUUUUCGGUAGCGUUGGUUUGUUUGUUUAUGAGUUUGUUUGUCUGUUAGCAACUUUACGGAGAAAGUAACCGACAGAUUGACCUGAAAUUUUCACCAGAGGUGCGUCUCAGCCCCAGGAGGUUCCCAUUAAAUUCUGGUGGUGAUCCGGACAAAAUUCUGGAUACUGUAAUCCAGAACACACAAAAAUAAGGGUGUCGUUGGAAUUUUCAAUGCUGAAAGAUAACCAAUGGGCGGCACAGUGGUGUAGUGGUUAGCACUGUCGCCUCACAGCCAGAAGGGCCUGGGUUCGAAUCCUGGUCAGGGUGCUUCUUGUUUAAGGGGGGACAUGAGCUUCUUGGCGGAGGUCUGUGCUCUCCGAGUGCUUUUCUAGUUUACAAUAGCCUCCUUUAUGUGGCUAUAAUUUAAAACACAGUCCUCUUUAUAUUAAAUGUGAGCACUACACAUGCACUUUUUUUACAAGCGUACCUCUUUUGGCAAUCAAUUCAAGCAUCAUCCUUUUUGCACACAGUUUCAGUAUCAUCCCUUUUCUUUUCAUGAUCCUUUCAACUAUCAACUCGUCUUUAGUGCUUUACAGUUGGGCUAAUUCUCUUUGCUGCACCACUAAUCCUUCAUAAACUGUAACCUUUAACUCUGCGCAUUAUUUGUUUUUUCUGUGCUGAACAACUUGACCAAAUGGUCACCAUACUACCAAAAUGUAUUUUCACCUGACUUGUCAUAGUCAUUUUUGUCAUGAUAAGAUGAUAAAACAGCAAAAAAUUGACCUGAUUUUAUUGAAACACACAGACGCACAACCCACACAGAACUCCCACAAGUUCGCAGGCCAGUUCUCGUAUCUAAUCCCAGGCUUUUAGUGAGACAAAGGACUCUGUUCUCUCCACGGUCACCAUGCUAAUCUGCCCUCUGAACUACAAAGGCGCUGCUCUCUGCCUCUACAGGGAUUACCAUUCACUUAUUGAACCAGCUCUUACGGGUUUGAGACACUUGCAGAAAGAGAGAGGAAGAAAGAGACAGGGGGAGAUGUAGUUGCAUACAGUUUAGGGGAGCAAAAGGCAUGAACCCACUUGAAUUUAAUUUCUUUCACUGGGCUAAAAGUGUGAUUGAAUGUUAAUUUCCAAGCCCCUUGAUCCCAUACUCUCUGCUUGUAUAAAUUUCUUUUUUUGCUGGAAAUGAAAGUAGAGGAGGUGGAGUCGAACUGUAAGAAAGAAAAAAACAGGAGUGUGAUACAGAAAAGCUGGAAUGUGGGAGCUGCCUAUAAAAGUGCCCCAUGUAAUCACGAGCGUAAUCCUUGUAAAAUAACCCAGCGAAGGUGGUGUGUAUGUGUGUGUUUAUUAUGCAUGGGUCUAAUUAUAGUAGAAAACUGAAGACGCCAUCAUUUUUGAUGCUGUUACUCUGCGGGUCCUGUUUAGUUUAUUAUUGAAAUUUACUCCAAGGCUGAUCUGAUGUGUGUUUGCCUUUUACGGUGAGAUUCUGCAAUCCAUCCACAGACGCCCUUAGCUCCCAUUUAACACUCCUCGUCUCUUUUCUUCAACAGUUGGAUAAGAUUCCAGUCAUGCUCUUAUUCACACACAAAGCGUGCCAAAACUGAUCAUUCACCUGGUGAGCAAGAGGAUAGUCCAGGGUAAAACAUUCUUUAAAACAGGAGCAUUACUAGGAUCCCACUGAGCAAUAGAUGGCUGUUAGAUGUCUCGUUUUUCUUUUUUAGACCCAAUUUUAACCAGAUUCUGUAUAUUUUUAGAAGGAAUUUAGACGUUGCACUGUAACCCAUUAUUUGAUAACCAUUUAUUUCAAAAAGCAACUGCAUAACUGAUCUUGUGCUUAAAGGUGGGGUAGGCAGGAUUCCGUUAAAGAAGCAUCUUUUUUGUGGUGUAUAUACAAAAAAGCUUUUAAUAUCAGUCAAUAGCUAUUAGUUAUUGAUGAACUUUGGUAAUAUCAUGAUAUCGCUGUGUUUUGUUAUGUCUGUGUAGUCGCCAACAUUUAAAUUUUUUGAGCGGCCCGCUCUUUCUGACUGUAAACAAAGCCGUUCUCCGCCUCCCCCAACCUGAUUGGUUGUGAGGCAGACGCUGCUCCCCCUUGUCGUUCAGGAGCCCAAACAAAGUUAACAUGCUACAAUAUCGGACAGUAGAAACCAACCAGAAAGUGCGGAAAAUCGUCUGAAUCCUCCUUUGGCCACGACUGUCGACACAAGCAAGAAAAGAAAGUAAAUACCGGAGACUCUGGCAGAAUAACAGGCGCUUAAAACGGAGGUAGACAGGACAAGAGCAAAGAGGCCGGGUCAACAUAAACGAUGGGGGACGCUUCGGGAUCUUACGGACCCUGUAACCUUUCUGCUGAUUUAACAAAGUAAGCUAAGUGUCUGUAACAGAAGUGUUUCUUAUCAAACUGGACCUGCUGUGUGUUGUAGCGCCGCUAAACUGUUUACUUCGGGUCCUGGACUAUGUCACUUUAUCCUGGUUGUAGAAGUCCUGCUAACAUUGUGUUUGCUGGUAGUCUGUUGGCAUCUACAGAAGCACCAAUGCUUUUUACUUUCACAUUGACUGGGCCCCAUUUGUAAUUAUCUGAAGUAUUUAUCUGCAUUAUAUCUGAAUUUAAUUGAAAUGAUAUGAGCGUCUGUUUGUGGGCGGGGCUUGUUGGAGCAGAGCGGGAGGGGAGAGGAGGGGCUGAGGGGAAAAAUGGUUGGGAGGGGUAGUGUUUUAAUUCAAGAUUUCACCCAAAAACUGGCACUUCCCCAGAUCCUGCUUACCCCACCUUUAACCAAAACAUAUGAUAGCCAUUGAGCAAUAUACAGUGUAGUAUAGAUAUAGCCCAAAAUUUUAUUUAAACUAAAUUUAGACGUCAAAAAAACUUUCAUUUUUAGACCUGUGGUCGCCUGAUUUUAGACCAGUCGUCUCGGCUACAUUUAGACGUCUAUUAGACCAAAAAAUGCUCACUGAGGAUGAGGUUAAAAUCCAUUAAAUGUUGUAAUUAGUACUCAAGUCUUGCUCCAGGGAAAACCCUCUCAUCAAAUUUAAAGUGUUGAAUAACCGUUACAUUUUUUAGCCUUGAUUAUUGUCCCCCCUGCUUCCUCUCUGUCUCACUGACCUUUUAACAUCACACGGUCAGCGUCAACACUAGCAUCACAACAUAUUCACACACACACACACACACACACACACACACACACAUUUCCCUUUUCUGAGAUGUGAACACAAAUAAACAUCCUGAUUGGGACAUUAAUCAUGCACGAACGCCUCCAUACAUAUACACAGCACCGACACACACACCCCCGUGUUGUUUAGCAAAUUAAUUAGACCAGUGUUCAAUAGGCUCUCAGCUGUAAUGAAUGGAGCUUUAGAAAUUAAGGAGUGACAGCAGGAGUGAACCAGGAAGGGACAAGUAGCCUGAGAAAAAUGAACAAAACUGGUUAUUGCUCCCUCAGCCUGACAUCAGAGGUCAGAGAUAUUUCCUGGCAGACCAUCAAACUGCGUGGUUUGAAUAUUUCUUUGAUAAUUCUGUGAAUAUUUGUAGUUUUUUUUUUUUUACAAGGAUAACCAAUUUCCUGGCUUUCGCGCGAUGGUUAUGCUGACAUCUCAUUUCAGCUGGUAUUUUACUUUGAUAUUGUUGAAGUUUCAUCACCUUCACUUCAACAGUCUCUGCUUGAUAUUAUUUGUCAAUUUUUAGAUUUAGAUUUGUAACUCAACAACGACAAAUAACACAUCUGUGAUAUGGUGAUACAAUAUAAGAGUAGAAACUUGGUAUUUUAAAAAGUAUCAGGCAGUUUGAAACAGGAAGAUAUUUUUAUCCGUUGUCGAAGAGUUUUGUUCAUAAACAACGUUGUUCUGUAUCAAACAAAACGCAACAAAGUAGAGAUGAAGAUAUUUGAUAAUAUGUAAACAUAACGAUCAUAAUCAUUUCCAAGACUUCACUAUCAGAUAGGUAAGAGCAAAGUUUUUCAGGCAACUAUAGAACCAAAUAUCUGUAAAGUGGUGCUCAUCGAUGUUGCUUCUUGACCAAUCAGAAUCGAGAGGGGGCGGGACUUCUAAUAAGUCUUCGUCUGUGUGUACUGUAAGAGAUCUUCAACAUUUCGUCAACAAAUUAAACGUGUUCUUAGUUAGUGGAAAGGGUGCUGCCUUGGCUGCAUCUGUGGAGGUGGGCUUUUGGGGACAAAUCUCAUGGUGGGCAGAAUGAAGAAGGGAUGCUGUUCUACAAAAAUGACGCUGCAACAAACAUUUCAUUUUUCAACUUUCAGCACUCUUUUUGGACGCAGACUUUUAGAUUUGGGUGGAUUUAAGUGAAAGUCUUGGAUUAGUUUUGGACAGAAAAACAGAUUUCAGGCUAACCAUAGUCCUGUAAUCCCAAAUUAUAUUAAAUUCUGUCUGACACUGUCGCGGUGCUUCUGAUUUCCAUUUAAGACGAAUACCUUUUAAUACCUCGGGCUCUGUGGUUAGGGCAAACAUCACAGUUGGAAUGAAGUAUGAUUUAUGAUUCUACAUUAAAUUUUGGACCCAGCUCAUCAGAUGUAAUGGAAUAUUCAACGGAAAAAUUCCCAGAAAUGUGGAUCGGCAUCUUUGGAGAAAAGGGACGUGGGCUGACUUAAUCUUCCUGCUCGAAUAUUCCUUCAGUUCCUGUCACUGACCCGUUUGUAACCUCUCUGUCUUUGACUCUUUUCUCUUUGGAGAGCAUCGAUUCCUGUCCUGCUGAUUCAUCGUGGACGCCCUUCACCACAGUGACGUAGGCAGCUGUGAUACCACACACACUCCCUCUUACAUACACGGAGGAGACAAGCCCAACAAUAGAAGCAGCCAAGUCACCUCAGUCCAUUUUCCUUCCGCACGCCUCUCUCAUCUCUCUGACAGCCCGGGUCAGCGGCUGUGUCUGGCAUGCAGAGAAAAAUCACACAAAGAUUACGAGUCCAUUAAUGUUCAGGGAUAGUUCAUCUUUCCAGCAGUAAAUGUAUCACCUAAUCCACAAGUUAUUCAUCCCUGAUGAGUCCAAACUCCUGAUCCAAGAUCUUCUCAAAGUGUAGUUGAUUUUGCCUGGUGUUUUGGCUUCUCUUCUCACCGAUAAAUUCUGUUUAUUGUCGUAUAAAUCAUUUUCCUGCACAUAAAAAAUGCCAGAAUGUUCUGUGUUUAAAAAAGUAAUUGCGGAGCUUGUUGGUAUGUGUGUUUGUUUUCAUGUGCAGAUGAAUGUAUGACAUUUGUAUAAAAGCAGAGGCAUCAGACGGUGUGUGUGUGUGUGCGUGUACGUGUGUGUGUGUGUGUGUGUGUGUGUGGAUGUCAGGCCGAUAUGUGGUUCACAUUAGCUCUGUUUGAUGUCUCCAUCACAGGCCUCUCUCCUCCUACUUCUACACUACUGUUUGAUCUGCACCAAUCUGGUCCUGAUCAUUCCGCCUUUGUUUACUUUCAAAGACACUUUUCAUUUCUCCUUGUUUCUCUAACCUCCGCUCACCCACUCCGCCUGUCACUCUCACUCAGUGUGUGUGUGUAUUUGCGCAGGUUUAAAUGUCUUUUGUUCUUCUGAGCAGAUGUGUGUCGGAUUACAAUGCGGAGAAGUCAGGGGUGUUUUACAUCUCGAUGGCUGUCCUGUGCUCUGGGUUUCAAAGGCAUUUUCUUUAAAUUAGAUUUGAGAAGUAACAUCACUUCUUUUUUUUUUUGUGAGGUCUUUGUUACCGAUGAUGGUUAUGAUUCGAAGGCAAACACUGCCUAGGAGGAGUGGAGUCAAAUCAUGGGACAUAUUUCAUCUCCAUCUGGAUCAGACAUAAGGAGGUUAAGUACAGGUCCACACGGAUCUCACGCUCACCCUUUGUGAUUCAGUCUGUGGAUGAUGCAUAAAGACCGGGGUUUAUGAGCCAGUCUUUUUCAGCUAUGAGUUCAAAUUUGUAUAAACAUGGAUUCCAAUAUUUCUGAGCUUGAGUGUGACAUGAUCCCAACGCUGUUAUGUUUCCUGAGGUACAGAUCAAUCUUUUUAUGGUUUAUUUGUUAAGGAGAGAUACAUUACACAGGGAGCAGUCAUUCGAUGCAAGUAUCAUAGUGUUUAAAGUGGAUUAAAGGAGCCAUGUGAAGGUUUCAACCACUUGUAGGACUCUAGAGGAAAGUAUUGGCAGCUGAUUUUAUUGGAGAGGAUAGAACAGCUGGCAGAGCUGGAAGGGAGGGAGAGAAUGAACUGCAGGCUGGAACUGAACCUGGACUGCCCACUCGAGGCAUAGCCUCCAUACAUGGGAUGCACACAUCUACAUGCUUGUCCAGCAGCACCAUCUCUCUCUUAGUUUUAUUGCGUGCAGGCAUAGACCAGCGUACACACACGUCAGCAUGCUGGAGGUGAAUUACAUACAGUACAGAGUAGUUGUAGCCUGGCAUUGCCAAACCAAUCAGCCAGCUCAUAUUUAUAUUUACUGGCAUAUGAGUCUGGAGGCUGCCAUUCUUAACGUUUCAUCUUAAACCGCACCAAUCACAACGCUUUGUUCAAGCAUAUUUACUUCUGCAUACUGUGCCCAAAUCCUCUGGCUGAUGCUGCCCCUGUUUACUGAGGUCUAUUUAGGAAAACAAACGGCUAUUAUGUGGAGCCGCCAGGUCAGCUGGUAAAUUAGCUCACCCUGUAUCUCUGCGUUAAAGCCGUUUUUACAAUGAAACUUAAACAUGCAUUCAAGAGUAAGAAUAAGAACUGUAUUGAUCCCUGAAGGGAAAUUCAAUUGUCUGUCGUUUCAUUUGUUAUGUCUCUAAAAGUCAUCUACUAUUUACAGAAGAGUUGUAAAGUCUGAUGGCUGUUGGUACAAAAGAUCCUCUGAAUCUUUCUGUCCUGCAGCGAAGAGAGAGGAGCCGUCCACCACCAUUGGCCCUUAGGUACAUGAAGGUGUUGUGAAGUGGGUGAUCCAUGUUCUUUAGAAUAGUCUCCACCUUCCUCAGUGUAGAUCUCUCCACCACAUCCUCCACUGAGUCCAGCUUGAGUCCAACCACAGAGCCAGCCUUUUUCACCAGCGUAGAACAGAACACUGUAGACACCACCGACUGAUAAAGCAGGUCAUUGUGUGAGUUUAUUAAUGUUAUUCACGAUCAGUCGACCUGUUGCUUGUCUGUGGGAGUGGGUCUCAAAAGUCCAUCAUCGUGUUCACUGUCAGAUGAGCUGCAUUGUGUGUCCUUGCUUGGCUGUGUGUGUGCGUUGUGUGUAGUCCUAUGUGACAUUUUGUUGGUCUUGUGUGGUUGUAAAGGGGGGAGCUGUCGUGCAUUUUGCACCCUCCUCUGCUGUCAGCAUAUUUUGAUGAAGUGCACAUGUAGUGAAUGUGAUAAAGUGAUUCUUAGAAGAUUUGUGGCUUUAAAUCAGCUGUUUUCUGUUUUGGUGAAAACUCAGUCUUAGAUGAACUAAAUUGAAGAGUCAGGGUUUGAUAGUGAUUUACACUGAAGUUUCACUUUGGUUUACGUCAGAGAUGUGAUACCAAAAAAAAAAAAAAGGAAAAGAUUUUAGAGUUAUUUACCUCAAAGUAAACUGGUCUUAAAUUUGUUGGUAUAACAACAUCAUCGUGUGGAUUUGUAAGAAGUAAAAAUCCAGGUUUAUCAUGUUUGUCCUCAGGGACAGAAGAAGACAACUUUUUAAAUGUUUAUUGAAUGGAGAGUGGAUCGAUCAUCUGAUGCACUGCAGGAAAUCAGGAAAUCUAAACUCUGUUCAGCUUCAGACUACGUUUACACAUGCCCAUUUAACCCUCUCUGUUUACAAAAAAAAAACAAAAAAACGGAGAGAACACCACUACGUUUUCAGAAAACUUUUCAUUUAUAUUAACCUGUGUAUAUCUGCUGUCAAGAGCAUAUCAAACAUGUGGGUGGCAUUGUAGCGAGAAGCUCACGUUAGCCAAUCAGAAUCCCUCAUAGCAGCAACAACAACAUCCCUUCCUUCUUUCUUGCGCACAAUCUGCUGUCGGCUACACAUAUCUCCGUUUUCCUGUUUUUCUCCAUUUACAUGCAAACAGAGUUUUCUAAAACCUCCACUCUGGCCGGAGUUUUUAAAAAGCACAAUUUUCAGGGGCAAACGAUGGUUAAUGUCGCCGCUUUUAAAAAUAACCGGGUACAUAUAAACAUGGCCUUAGUGAUCCAGUGUUAGAAAAAAAUCUGUCCCUUAAAUUUAAAUCUUUGAUCUUUUACAAGCUGCUAGCCACACUAGCAUGUCAUUAUCUGUUAAAAGAAGAAACUUAGCCAUCAUCAGACUACCACUCGAUGGAAACCAUGAUAUCAGUAUGACAGACUGAGUUUGAAUCCAGCUCACUUCAUCAUACAUCUCCAUGCAGAACCCGUAAAUAAAGAUUACUGUUAGAUUUCAGGUUCCAUGUGGACUUUUCAUCGACUUUGAAGAUUAGCACCGUACAGACCGUCUCUUUUUGCCUACACCGAAGCUGAAGCAACAGAUUGUAUCUGUGUCACAGAUACAUACUGAUCUGAGUUAUAAUUGGUUAUGUAGCCCAGACAUGUGUUAAGAUCCCAGAGAACAUUGAAGUUCCCGUUGGGGAUUACGUCUUCUAUCAUUCCUCUGAACACCUGCAGGUCCCUCACACAACAAUGGCGUGCUUGGAUGUGGGUCUAUCUACCCAUAUUUACUUCACUUCUUCAAGCACAUCUCUUUGUCUUCCAUAAACCUCUGUGCUCAUCUGCUCAUCCCUCCUUCUUUCUCAGGGAGUUUCUUGUGAGAGUUACAUGUCUAAGACCCAUUAAUACUAAAAGCUGUUGACAUAUAGUGAAAUUCCUCUUUCUGGCGACGGGUAAUUCAAUGCUAGAAACCAUUUAUCUUCCUACAAGGCCGUUCUUAUUCUGUUUAAACUCUGUUGCAGACAGAAAGGUGUUUCUAAGAGUGGGUAUAAAUGGUGCAACGGAGGAAAAAGUCAUAAAGUAGAUGAGAGAAUGAGGACGACCUGCAGAGAGUGUGUGAGUGAGAAACCCUGAGAGGUGAUUACAGUGUCAUAAUCAUGCAGGCAUGUACAGGGGUGUACAUACAUGAAGUGAUGACAUGAACAAGUACACAUUACAAAUGUAACGUGUCCACACCAUGGCAACCACAAGGAUAAAUUGUUGCUCACAAGGGUGGAUGGCUUCCCUCAUAUCUUCAGGUUGGGGUUAGAGAUGGAUCUGCUGCCAGGAUGCUGUAUGUGCACAUGUUUUUAAUUAACUUACUUUCCCACUAUUCAAACUAUUGGGCUCUUGAGUGCUGAAAAUAUUCAUUUACAGUCCUCAGAGUCAAAUUCUUUCCAUCUGUGACAAUAUCUCUGCAGCACAAAUUAAGCAAUCAGUGCGUAAUUAAGUAAUUCUUCUGAGUCAGACUUUCAACUUAAGGUGGAAAUUAUCUCUGUCAAUCAUCUCACCACAUCGUGUAAUGAAAAGCACACAGUGGAGGACCAGGCUCUGAUUAGAUGGGAUAUAAUCGGGUCAGAGGAGUGUGAGAUAAUGAAAGUGAGAGUUGUUCUGCUGUCGUCCCGUAUGUUCAGGGUCCUGUGGGACUCAAACAGGCCUGUUAAACUUUAUUAGAGUGAACAGGCUUCCCGAGUCCACACAACACCGGGCCUGGGAGAAAAACCCACAAACAGAGGCCAUAAACAUAAACACAACAACAGACUAUUGUCUCUGCCAGUGGGGGAAUGAACGGAUGACAGGAUGGAUGGAUGGAUGGAUGGAUGGAUGGAUGAAUGAAUGAGGGUCCUGUUCUCUGCUCAUCUAGGCUGCUCAGAUAAUGCCAGUGCAAAGAUAUGGGUGUAAUUUUAGGUAAAAGUCCCGCUCCGAUUGUUUUUUUUUUACUACUUAAAGUGUAUCAAUGGUUUAAAUUGUGAUUGUGAAGUUUUUAUCCAAAAUGAUGUUACCUGUGCUGUUUUCAAGGGGUUUUCCUCUUUAGCAAUUUACCUCUGAGUUGUGGGCGUAGACCAGGGGUGUCAAAGUCAAAUGGAGGAAGGGCCAAAUAAAAAAUUUAGCUACAAGCCGAGGGCCGGACUGAUAGAAUGUUCAUUGAAAAUUUUUUAAAUGACGCAUAUAGUCUAGUGAACCUAAUUGAACCUACUGAAAACCUAACAAAUAUAUUCCAAUAUGAUCAGAUAAAUAAAGCAAUAUUUUCUUAUGGCUCUGUCAGUAAUCUUUAAUUUUCAACAGACACAAAAGACAAAUUUCCUUUAUAUAAAAAUCCCCAUAACAUGAACAUUAAAUGAAAGAAACCGGUAUUAUUCAAGUCACCAUCAGUAGCCUAUAUUUUCUAUUUUAGCAAAAGUGGGCUAAAUUUACUUCAAAGAAAAAAAUAAUAAUAGCAAUUUUCUAUCAUCCAUUUUUGAACAGAGCCUGUCGAGAUUUGAGGCCUCGUUUUAAUUCCUCGGCCUUCUGUAGCCUUUGUUCCAUGUCCAUAUUCUUGUUUUUGUCCGCGUGUUUCGUUUCAUAAUGUCUUCUCAGAUUAUACUCUUUCAGUACCGCCACACUUUCUCCACACAGAAGACACACAGGUUUUCCAGCUACCUCCGUGAACAUACACUCCGACUCCCACCUUGUUUGAAACCCCCGGUUCUCAGUGUCCACCUUCCGUUUUGCCAUUUUUGAUGGGUAUCUGAAAGUUAAUUUUACUGUUAUGCUGACCACUGCUUUGCUAAUAAAUAUUGAAAUGAAGCAGCCUACUGCUCGGUGCGUCACCGUUGCAUUGUGGGAAAUGUAGUUUUGGUGCGUGUAAAAGAUCUGCGGGCUGCCGGCUUGCUGCGGUCUGCGGGCCGGUUCUAAUAAUAAAUCAAGAUCAUCCCAGGGGCCGUAAAAAACCUUCUCGCGGGCCACAUCCGGCCCGCGGGCCUUGACUCUGACAUAUGUGGCGUAGACAGUGCUGCUCUGCACACUCAUCUUCACGCUAGCUUGCAGCCUAACAUUGCCGGUGUAGUUGAAGUAGCAGGUAACAUAGCAGUUAUUCAGCUCUCUGACAUGAAUGUCUUUGGCAUGGUGAAAGCUAACAGCAUAAUUAGCUUUCUUACAAGCAUUGCAAUCCACUAACGAACACGCUUGGUUCGAGAUCGUCCUCUCUACUUUUCCGAGUGUGGCCUCCAGGGGCGGAGCUUGGAUUUGCGACGUUGGAAAUCUCACUAAAUUUGAACCUGCCGUUUGGGUCUGCCAGAGAUUCACAGCGAUUUGAAUGAAGAAAUACUCAGAAAUGCAAAUUUGCACUUAUUUUUCUCAUGAUAUGUCCUGUAGCAUCAGAAAAAUGCUGUAUGAACAUGUAAACAACAAGAAAAACAUGAUUUUCAGCGGAGUUGGUCUUUGAGAUUAGAGGUGUAAUGGUAUCAUGAUCUCAUAGUCUGGUUGUAUCAUCGUAUCAGUCUGUAUUUAUUGUUGUAUUUAAAAAAAAAACUACACACAAAAAUGCCAUUUACAUUCAUGGUUAUAUUCUUGCUUAAGGCUCUGUGUAACUUUAGCCUUUGUGUCAUUGUAGAGGGCUGCUCACAGUGUUUAAAUGAAGAGUGGCUGUGACAGGUAUUAAUACUUAAGCUCUAGUGUGUUUCCUAAUCUUCAAUCCUCCAUUGUCAACCACAGAAAAUGUCUGUAGGUCUUAAGCUAUUCAGUGAUAUACCUGAUGAUCUCUUGAGCUCUCACUGAUCUGGGAAAGUGAGACUGUAAAGCUUCCUUUAGAGUCUCUUGGCCCGGCUGGAUUUAUCAUUUUCUUUUACUUCUCAGUCUUUUCAAGGUGACGAUUUACCAAGUGGCAUUUUUCAUUUUACUCAUUCUCUACAAGAUGUCAGUCACUGUGGUCUGACAGUGUCUACAUCUUGUUUUGGUUUGUCAGACACCUUUUUUCAUUACUUGACCUGGGGAAACCAAAAUGCUUCCACAGCUCUGCUUUUAAAAGCCACCAGAGUACAACAAUUAUAAAAUUGCCUCCCUGUGUCUUGACCCGCCAUUUUUGCUGAGGUAAUGAACAACAAUGAGAUUUGUAGUUCCCACUACUCUCUGCUCUGCUUCUGAAAACAACUUCUCUGUCAUAUGGUCUUGUGAGAUCAAGAAGAUGGUGCUGAUAGUACUGCCGUCAAUAAUAAAAUGUAGUCAUCUAUAAAAGUGCUUUAAUAAGGGUUCAUUUCUGAGGAUUUCAUCUACUUCUUCUGCAUGAACAGUUUUAACUGUGAGCAAUGUUAUAGCCGGCUGAUCCUGCUUCGAUCAGGUCACCUCUUUUUGGUGGCAUUAAGGUACAGUGUUCACUUUCCAGAGCCUCUCGACAUGCUUGGCUGUCUUCUAGAGGUGAGGCUGAGGUGAAAAGACACUGUGCUGGAUGGGCAGGCUGCCUCCAUGAGCUAAAUAGGACCUUGAAGGGUCCACCCAAGGCUGGUGUAGAUUGCUGCUGGGCCACCAGGUGGAUCAAGUUGACCUGGUUCCACAGGAAUAAUUAGAUGGGACUGGUCUGAUCCCAUUAGCAGUGCUGGUUCUGCUACUGCUGGCUCAGAAGGAAAAAAAUGAAGAGGUCAUGUCCCGCAGGUAAAAAAAUAUAAAUUAUAAUGCCUGAUAGAACUAUUGAUUGUAAAAAAAAACUAAGUCCAUACUCUUUUGAAUGCUCACUGAGGUGAAUAUGUUGUCUAUGCAGUAAGAGCAUGACCCCUGAACUCUGUAUGCCCUGGGAAGUCUGAGCUAGUAGCCACAUUUACAUGCAGACUUUUUUCUCAUUCGGAUUAUAAUCAUUCCGAUUGAAGCUCCCAGGCGAACUGUUUACAUGGAAGCGAUCUAUUCUGAUCUGGUGUUUACAUGUGCCACGGCAUUCAAUCGGAACAGCUAUUUACAGACACGUGAUACCUUCAAACAUCACGUGAUUGAUUGAUCACGUGAUCUCCGACGCAGACCAGUGCAUCGUGCUCUGUUUGGAAGCCGCCAUCAUGUUUCCAUGUGAGUCAUACGUCACUGCUUGUUUACAUCAGGACAGAGCAUGCGCAGACAGAACCCAGCCUGACAACUUUCCGAUUCACCGUUUACAUGACAGGAUUUUGCUUUUAAUCGGAAUGGGAAAAGGAAUAUUCUACCCCUGUGAAUCGGAAUGAAAUUCCAUUCGGAAUGGGCCUGUUUAUUCCGAAUGAGGUGUUUAUAUGGAGCAUUUUCAUUCCGAUUGGGCUUCUAAUCCGAUUAUAUUCGGAAUAUUUGGCUCCAUGUAAGUCUGAGCUAGUGAUGUGUCGGUUGUGAACGAACCGGUUCAAAGAGCCGACUCUUUAACUUGAACGAUGGGCGGCAGCUCCAGCCUGUGAGCCAUUUUCUUUUUCUUUUUUUCUCUCUUUUUUUACCCUCCCACAGAAUGUAGAAAAAAAAUGCCUCAAUACACCAAGCAGAGGGGGGCGGGGGUGUGCCAUGUGUUUGUGCUCAUUAGUCAGAUGCGCUCAGGAUGGCUAAUUUUUACUUGUGAAUACUUCAGUUCAAAGGAUGUAUUGAAUUAUACAAGAGGUAUGUGUACACAUACAUACAUAUCAUAAGCCAGACAAUGCUAAAAUUGACUGAGUUAGAAAAUGUGUAAGUGGUAAAAUGAAGAGCCGUUUGGUUGCCGAAAGAGCUGAGCCAAAUGAUCUGGCUCACUGAAAAGAGUCGUAAUUCCCAUCACUACUAGCAAACACGUAAGUUGUUGUUGUAUAGUGCUGACAAAACUGUAAAGUGGGUUGUAUGACCCUGGAUUCAUUUUUUUUCUUAGCUGUAAAGAAUACACCAAAGCUGAACAAGGCUCUGCUUCGUCUCUCUUUCAACAGCUUCUUAAUCCAGCCUCAAACUCUAGAGUCUGUCUGAGUAGUAUACAGCAAAGUAUCUUUGUGACUUUUUUAUCCAUGUUUUCAUGUCGGAAACUGUUAGCCACAUACUUAGUCACAUUGUGGUGUCCUGGUUUGAGUCUACCAACCAAUCAGAGGCAGUGUUCCAAACUUUGCACCAACCACAGGCUCUGUUAUGAAUGUGAGUCACUGCUGAUCCCAGUGGAUGUUUGCCAGUGAAAUAUUACUCCCCCGUGUCAUUCAUUGUUUUAACAGCGUAGCACUCUAAAUUAAAAGUAGGAGUUUUAUAAUCUCAUAAGUGGUCGACCCUGUGUGUCUUUUGAUAGCACAUAAUUGGACCGGGACCAGACCGAAUGAGAAUGAUAUUUUUUUUCUUGUACAUUUUAUUUGGCAUCUUAACAAGGACAUUGACAAAAAGAGAUCUCAGAAGACGAACAGCUCACUGAGCCCAGAGAUUUAGUCCCAGUCUCUUAACCCAAUGCUGUUGCCCAACCAAACUGUCGGCAACCAGAUUGCUUUACCGCCUUUUAAAGACCCAGGCUCUAAUCUCAGGGUAUUGACAAGACUGAUUUUGCCCUGUCACUGCCCUACCACUUGGUCCCUAAUAUCCUCAUGUCUUAAACUCUGAUAUAGAUGGACACCAAGAGGCAGCUUAUCAUCAUGUUAUUAAAAGGGCCCCUUACUUUGCUGGUGUUUUAUUAAGUUGGGCCGGUAACACCUCAGGGGGGCUCGACAGUCAACUCCAGGAACCUAAAACCAUCCACCUACAUGUGAGCUGUAAUUACCUAUCACACCCAUGCACAAGAAAAGAGAGAGGUAGCAAGAGUUUGUAGAGAGAUGUUAGAAAGAUUGUUUUGGGCUAGAUCUGAUUAGGCUGUGGGCCCUUCCUCCCUCUACUUCCCCAUUUUCAUGAGAAAGCCUCAAAAAAUCAGAGCUUGUGUUACUUGUAUUUUAAAGCUGUCAUGAAACCUGGCAGUUGAGGGUGCAACAAUAACAGACAAAAACACCAAAAUCCUGCAGGGACUGAAAAACGAUGUCCACCCCUGAUCUUUGAAAUUAUGUACUUACUGUUGUGAUUGUGAGGCCACAUUCAUGAUGAAAGUAGCAGCUACAGUGAGUCAUCAGGGUUGGAUUUGGUAGUAAACCACCCGUUAGGAUCUGGCCUGCAGCGUUUAACUGCAUGACUGUGUGAUCACCGUCCUGAUUAGCUGCUGCAUCCAUCACUGAGUGUUUAGACGAGACCUACAGCCCUGCUGAUGGACAUGAGCUCACUCCCCUGUGCAGGUGCUGAGAGGGUGGGAAUAUGUGUAACACACUCACGCAUUACCAUUUCCACACAUCACUACAACACUAUACUGUUAAACAAAGUUGUAAUCAGUGAAAUGUUUAGUUUUGGCACUUUAAUAAAUGAUAAACAGUCAUUGUACUGCAGAGUCCCUGUUGAUCGAAUUUGACUUUCUCUUGGUGUUUCCAUUUACAUUGACUCAUCAGUCAGGGUGGACCUCAGUACCCAGCAUGCAAUCUUUUUUUCUCAUGUACCUCUUGAGGCCCAUCACCAUAGAAAUAAACUGUAGAUGUUAGCUGUCUGAAAAAACAUGCUCUUAAAAGAUUUAUCCAAAUGGCAGCCUGAAACUUGGUGUUACUGAAUACUAACAUCAUAAAGGUCAGGGUUGUUUCUCCUUAUAACAAGUUUUAUAUCAAUAAGAGGUACCACAGAAUAGGAACACGCCUUAUAGCUCUGAUACGAUACAGAUAUCUACAGUUUAGUAUCGGCCUAUACCGAUCCAAUUCCGACACAGAAAAGCCGCGCUGUAUUACCUUGUGUUGUAACCUGAAGUUUUACCGCUGCCUCUCAUAACGUUAGCUAUGCAGGUACUGCAAGUGGCCGUCGAGCUUGUCGGCUGAGGUAUUGUGAUAAAGUUCAAGAUAGCAGACCCCUUUGCUCGCUCCAUUUUAAAAACAAUGUGUGCAUCCGCUCAGCGUGGUUAUUUGUGGAUGCCACUCACGGCGCAUAGCAUAGAGUUAGACUGAAUUUUUUUUUUUUUUUUUUUUUUUUUUUCUUGUGUUUUUGUUUUUGUUUUUGUUUUUUUUGUUUGUGGUUUGCUUUUACUGGACUUUAAUUGUCUUGAAUGACCUUUGCAAGACUGUACAUGUUUUAUUGAAUUAUGUAUUGUAUUGUCUUGUAUUGUAUUGUUUGUUUUAUUUGUGGACCCCAGGAAGAGUAGCUGCUACCUUGGUGGCGGAUCCGUAUGAAUAAAGAAUAAAGAAUAAAGAAUAGAUCAGCCCCUAUGCAUCGGGCCCAUUGUCUUGAUACCCGAUCUAGAAUUUUCCUCAGUAUCGGAACCGAUGCCAAUAUCAAAUAUCGGAUUGGUGUAUCCCUACCACAGGAUAUAAAUAAAAUGCCAUCAUUGUCAAUAUUUGUUACUAUCAAUCAGUUUGUGAAGAGUUUACUGAAAAAAAACAUACUUUACCAAACUUUUUUAAUGCAUCUCCAUCUUCAAGUUUCUUUGGCCCAUGCUGUUGGAGUAAUUGAAAAAUGGCUGACGUUUAUGUUCCCUGAAGUGACAUGUAUUUUUUAUUACAAAGACGAUUAUUUCAGGAGAAGUCUGCAGUGUCUGUGUGCAUUUUUAACAGUAAGCUGUGUGGAAUCUGCAGCAGCAGCACGUUUAGAUCUAUGCGUCUGCAGCCUGUUGAAGCUGAUGAGUCUCCAGAGCUCCAGACUGAUGUCUCCUCUCACUCCGCCUGAUCUGGGAAUAAUCACUUGUGGAGAUUGGUGAGUGCUGUGUCAGAGACAUUACACUCUAUCUUUGUUAAUUACCCAUGUGUGUGUGCACUUUAGCUCGUCUGACUGGGAGAUAUGGAUCAUUCUGAUAAGUCUUUGUUUCGUCAGAGUUUGUUAUUGUCUCUUCCAUCUUUUCCCCGUCUGUCUGUCCGUCUGUUUCUUUUCUUUUUUCUGUCUUUUUUUCUUCCUCUUCAUGUUUUAUUCUCUUAAUUGUUUCCAGAGUGUUUGUUUGGAAAUUUGUAAAGUUCUCCAUCACACGCAACCAGGAUCUAAGCCAAGGCAUUCCCUUCUCCACACACCCUCAUGCACACACAUACACACGAAUGCAAACACACUAGCUCACAGAAAACGCCACAACUAAUCUACUGUGCACAUGCAUGUAUCUGCACAUACCAGCCUGUAUUAGGUGAAUAAAGGAGGAUAUUGAGAUCCAAAUUUGGAAUGUAUAUAAUUAGACAGGAGUGCGAACACACUUAUCUUGCUCGUGUUUGUGUUUGCGUUGCCAUGGUGAUGCCACUUGCUCACUUAAUCUUCAUGUCUCAGCCACAGAAGUAGGAAAGGUGAGAGCACCACCCAUCCCUUUCCUUUCCUCACACUGCCACGCUUUGCUCAUUCUUAUCUGUUUCCCAACUUUAUCGCCCGCUUUUCUCAUUUUCCCACCCCUUUGUGUCGUUCACACACAUACACACACAGAGACACACACAUACAUAUACACACACAUAUUUGUGUUUAUUUGAUUUACAUUCUUCACCGACCGUGCUCCUCCUUUGCUGUUCUCAUGAUAUUUACUCAGGCAACAGGUCAACAGGUCACGUCAUAUUCUCUCAGCAGGAACUCAAUUUCCCAUCAGCCACUUCACGCUGAGCUAAACCUUUCCUCACGCUGUGGUCAGAUUAAGGUUGCAGAGGGAGGGAUGAGAUCUGACAGAUGAGAAAAGAGACAUAAAAAAGGUCCUGGCUGAGGCGCGUUGACAUGGUGAGAGUUAUGAAGUUAGAUGCUGCGGAAAGGGAGGUGCAGAAGAAAUGUGGGGUGUGUGUGUAAAAGAGAGAGAGAGAGAGAAAGAGAGAGAGAGAGAGCGCACAUGUGUGUGCAUUUGUGUAUAUGCUGGGGGGCAGCAAGGGAGGGUUUGAGGGAACUGUAAGGUGCUUUCCCAAUUCCAGUUUUGAAUUCAUUGUUUUUGCAAAACAUGUGGUCUGAAUUUGGUUUGGGGAGAAAGAAGGACAAGAGUUCUACGAGAGUACACAUGAGUUCUUCAUGUACACACCAGUGCAUACCAACACACACACACACUUGCCGUCAUAGGCACACACUUAAAAUUGUCUGUGAAGUCACGCCCCACAUGAAGGGGAGAAAAUGCUGCUGAAAAUCCAAAGCAGUGAUUUUAAGGGAAAAGGUUUUGUGUGUGUGUGUGUGUGUGUGUGUGUGUGUGUGUGUGUGUGUGAUAGUUGCAUUUUCAGCACCUUUCAGUCUAGAUCAUGUCACUGGCCUUAAAACUAUAAAUCCCUGACAAAACAGUCAAGUGUUUAGAAUAAAUCAGCCAAUCACCUGCUUCCUCUUAUAAGGUCAUCAGGUAAGAGCCCUCUGAUUGGUGGAGACGUUGUAGUGUAGCAGAGCUAAUUGGUUAAUGGUACUUUUCCCAGAUCUCUCACCGCCACCUCGCUACUCAUCUGGUUUCAAUCAGGAAAUAAACCGCUGCCUCAACUUCUCACCUCUUUUCCUCUCUCUCUCUCUUUUUGUUUUACAUCUCCAGCUCUUUCUCUCUGUAUUCGUCAUCCUCUUGUUUUGCUUGCAUAAAAAAAGGGGGAAACCCAGAAGUUGUGGCAGUUGUGAUGAGAAUAUUGUGUAUUCACUGUGGUUUGAAAAAGAACACACAGUAACACACACUUCAAAAACCCUUUCCAUUGUUUUGUAAAGUUAAUGUUCCUUCACUCAGAUUCAGACACCAUUUGUCACAGAAAAGGAGCAUGAUGUUCUUUAUGCGUUGUUUGUAAUAGGCUGAAACGCACCGGACCAUUUCACCUGCUGGUGGAAAAAUUGUAAUCUGGGAUCUCGCCACAAACGCUCCUCUAUUGCACAUCAACACAAUACAUAGAUAAGUUCCUAAAAACAGCUGAAAAAGACCAGAGAUUGAACAGCCCUACCUGGUUUGACGGUAUGCUCUGAGUUCUGACUGUUGUUUUUCUCCGGACUGACCCAUGCAGAUAAUAGAAGAGAAAUAGAAUAGAAAUGGAAGAGGAGUCAUUUUAUGCAGAUUCAGAUGUGGUGAAUAGUUCAUCUAGUCUCUGUGGCAUAUCCAUUAUUGACGGUGAUGCCAGAUUGUUCGUUCUCUGUAGAAGAUAACAAGAAAUCUGUUGACUUGUCUCCAGUCUGUCUGUCCCAUUAGACUUCACUUUAAACUGUCAGUCUCAUCAUUUAUUCAGAUACUGUAACAUCCCUGCUAUAGUCACUAUUUCCACCUGUAGUUUGUUUAUGACCAGGUCAAUUUAGGGUCAAACUGCUGCAUUUUUUAUUGUUUGUUCUUUGAAUAUAAACGAAGUAAAAACAUUUUAAGGAAUUUUACUUUUUUCUAGGGCUUGGCGAUAAAACAAUAACAAUAUCAGUAUAAAACAUGGUCAAUAUGCUUUUCAAUAGUUUUGGUUGACCAUGUUUUUGUUGACUAUAUGAAUAGCCAAUGGAAAGGGGAGUUGCUUCGGGACGCGACACGCUAAACCAAUCGUGCAGAGUAAUGUGCACUGCAAGUUAUGUCGAGUACAUGUUAAAUUUAAUUAAAGAGUGACAGGGAACAUGUAAGAUUGACAACUGAUUUUUCUAUUAUUGUGAUACAUAUCGAUAUCGACUGAUAUGAACAAAUAUAGCAUGAUAAACUUUUUCCCAUAUCGCCCAGCCCUACCGUCUCCCACACACACACACACACACACACACACACACACACACACACACACACACACACACACACACACACGCACACACACGAAAAGUUGUUCACAUUUGCCAAAGUUAUUUUGAGAUUCAGACAUUUUCUGUGAUAAAAAGUGACAGAAAACAAUUCAGAAACCUUCACAUCCAGACAGGUUGUGUCAUCAUAAAUGUUAGAUCAGGUUAACUUGGUAACCAUAGUGACAAUACUUCCAACAUCCAACACAUCCCAUCCAACACCAUUUUAAAUGAGAUCUCUCUCUCUCUCUCUCUCUCUCUCUCUCUCUAAAUUCUGCUGACCUGUGUCUUUGGUAGAAGUUGUUUUCUUCAUCUGCUGUGGUGGCAAACUGCAGCAUUUAUUAGGAGAAUAAUGAAUGUGCGGAAGAUCACUGUGAGAGUAAAGGAACAUCCUCCUGUGUGUGCACAGAAUAAAUGAAAUGAGGAAAUUAUGGUACAAUACCUUUUGCAGAUUCGGGGAGGAUCAUUCUUUGAAUCAAGGUUAUUAAGCCAAGGUAGGUGAGGGAAUCAGAUGUAGAAAUUCUCUCUUAGAGAGAGGUGAAAAAUGUUAUCCCUUGAUCUUAAUAAUAUCCCUUAAAUGACUCUUACUGCAGGAGACACAAGCAUGAUGACAGAAGUAGAAUCUAGCUCCCAUCUUAAAAAUGCAGUGGUGUCCUUUGUAAGACUGAAAUCAAGGAAACCUACAAAUGUGACACAGUGUCCUUGGAAUAAUGUCAUAAAUAUUACCAACAAGAACUGUCAACUGUAUGGUAUAAAAAAGAGAAAAAAAACUUGAAGGGAUAUUCCGGUGUAAAGUUAAGGUUUGGGUCAAACACCGUGGUAGACAACCCCUUGAGAGAUAAAUGUUGCCGACUGCUUGCUUCCCUGCGUCGUGUGCUGUGGAGUUUCGCAGCUCAAGGAAGAACAUUUAUGAUUAUUACUUAAUGGAAAUGCAAUCAGAUCAAGACGCUAAGGCAGAAGAACUACCCCAUCUGCAGUGCAAAAUGAUUAUUAUAAUGACUAUUACUUCAAGAAAAUGACCCGCUGCACUCAGUGAUUGACUCUUCAGGGCUCCCCCACAAACAAGCGGCUGCUGGAGGAGAGUGGGUGAGUUGUGUUUAGUCUUUUUGCUAAAGAAACCAGGCAAAGCUAAAAAGAUGUUUAGAGGCUAGUACUAUGGCUGGGACCCUAUAUGUCCUGUUGAUGAAGUUAGGUGCUGUUCUGAGCAUUAUUUGUGUCUAUAGAGUGGCGUUUUGGUUGAGGUUUGUUUAUGGCUCCUCAGACCGCUGUGUAUUGCUAUCGUGCGGUCGUUACUAAAGUUGAUAUAACUAGAGAAUCAAGCGGUUUGCAACAUUCAUCUCUCGAAAGGGAGUCUAACUCUGUGUUUUGACCCUAAAUUAAUUUUAUGCCGGAAUAUCCCUUUGACAAACCAGAUGUUUAGUAUAACAAAAAGCAUCAUGGGUAAGUCAGCAUACUCGACCAGUGACAAACCGUUUUUUAGAUCUUUUACAAAUCUUGAUUGGAUUAUUUUGGUUUGUUGUAAAUUAGGAAAAUGAGACGUAACCACCAAUCCUUUAAACUUUCCAUUUUCUGCCCAUAUAACUACAUAACAUGACCCAUCCACCCAUGCAUUAGUCUUUUUUUCUAUCACCCAUCAGUCCACCAUAAUACAUCAAUCCACUCUCUAUCCAUCCAUCCAUCCAUCCAUCCAUCCAUCCACUCUGGGUCUUCACAGUGUUUGAAAGAGAGCAUAAAGAAAAAGUCUAUUCUGUGAGUUGUGCUGAAAUAAGACUCUCCAGGUUUUCAAUGAACCCUAGAUGGAUUUCUGCAUUUAUUCAUUCAGCACACUCUUCACUCCAAAGCUGCUACGAGUCUAGAGGUAAAGCUCAAAGAACCUCGUGUAAUUCUGCAGCUGAUAUUUGGAAAUCGCAUCAAGCUUAAGCCUGAGGAUGACUCACUGUAAGAGCACAGCUCUAAAUCCCUCAAGGAGCAAUACGCAAAAAAGGAGAGGAGAUGAGAACUUGGAAAGACUUUUUCCGAGUGUUAUAAGACUGAGGAUGAAGAGGUGAUGAGGGAUAGAGGGGUUUUCUAAAGAGUCCUUUGAGGACACUGUCUUUAAUUUUUAAGCUGAUAUCAAAGUUGUUUGUAUCAUAUUAGAACAUAGACUCACCCUGAAAAGUAAUUUCCUCUGGAGACCGAGGACAUUAGGAGGGGAAAUUUUGAAGAAAUUUGAUCAGCAUACCUUAAAUUACUUGUAAUCCAUCUUGUUAAGCAAGACUUUGUUGAAGAAAGAAAGGACACUUUCGUUUGUGUAUGUGUGUGUUUGUAUACACAUCUAUACAUGAAUCCCAUUAAGAGCGUGUGUGUGUGUGUGUGUGUGUGUGUGUUGGGGCCUCUGAGCUGUGAAUAUUCAUGGGCAGCUAUAAGUGGUUAUGAAUGUGUUGAAAGUGAUUUUCAAUGGACACAUUAUGAAUCACGCCCUGCAAAGGAGCUCAUUCAGAGGCAUCUGUUACCCAACACUGCUGCUGCCAAACGUGUGUGUGUGUGUGUGUGUGUGUGUGUAGGUGUUCAUAUUGGGUUUUUGUGUGCAUGUUUUUUUUUUCUAUAUAUUGUGUUCAUUGUGCCAAAGCCUGAGGAGUGUUUUGUAUAAGUAAAUUUGUGCCAAAAGGGGCCUAAAACCCUGUAGGAGACCCUGAUUUGUUGGUGUGUGUGAGUGUGAGUGUGUGUGUGUGUGUGUGUGUGUGUGUGUAAGACUUUCUGCACGCACUGCAGAGGUUUGAAGCAAAUGUCACUUUUUGAUUUAGUGAAACUGUCGGUUCUCCGUAUUCAUGUGUGUGUGCGCGCCCGUGUUUCAAUGCAUCAAAAGAAGAGGAUAUAAAAGGUGAAUGUCAGUCUUUGAUGUAAAACUUCCCACUGUUAAACUUCAGCUUCAAUCAACAUCUUAACCCCAGCACACACACACACACACACACACACACACUUAAACACACUUACACACACCUAGCGCAGCCACAGUUUAACGUCCGACUUCUCAGUGAGAAGUUUAAAAAUCUGGAGACGGAGGAGAGUCAAAGGAAAACAGCCUAAUGUAGAUGAAUGUGGUACAGACAUGAUCAUCCUCCUCACCUGUUCAUUUCGCAACAGGUGUCUUCAUUUUCAUCUGUGUGCGUGUGUUUGUGUGUGUGUGUGUGUGUGUGUUUGUGUCUGUGCCGGUUUGUUUACGUCGCGCUUUAGUUGCAGUCUUGUCUGUGUUACUUGAGCGCGGGCGUGCACGUGAUCAUUUACAUGAUCACACAGAGAAUUUGGCAACAAACCACCAGCCUACCAUCUGCUACUACCCGAGCAUGCAGAGUGCGUUCACACACGCACACAAAGACACACACACACACACACACACACGCACACACCUGUCAAUCCAUUCUGUUUUGUGCGCUCAGUGCUUCGAUACGCCACGCUGACUUGCUGGAUUAAUUGUGUGAUUUAUUCAGUUGGUUCCUGAUUUGGGGUGAGGCGGCCUUUUGCAAAGGGUGGAAACCAUCAUUAAAUCUGACAUCACCCCCCCCCCCCCUCCCUGACAUGCACACACUCACACUCACACACGCUCGCUAACUCCCCCUUCCUAAAGCACAUACACUCUCUUAACAAAGCAGCUGUUGCAUAGCAUAACACUGAAAAUGAGGAGUCUGCUGCAUUUCGUGCAUCUUGAUGUUUUGAUUACUGAACUUAUGUUGUGUGUGUGUGUCCUCCUAGCAAAGGUGUCAUAAUGGCCCCCUGCUGUUCAGACCUCAAUUAACCCCCUGCAACUGCACAGCAGAGACACAGUGUGGGGAAAAGAGGGAGGAGGGAUAGAAGAGGAUGGUGGUGUCAGAGGAAUGAUAGAGAGAUAGAGAAAAGUGGAUUUCGUGACUGGUUAAUUUCUCUUCCUCUGAAGAGUUGUAUUUUUCCUUCUUUCAUCUAUCCAUCUAACCCUCCUCGCCCCCCUGUCCGUCUGAAAGGCGCCUGGGGGCAGAUGCAGGAACUGAAUUCAGGAGUGGGACUUGGACAAUGGCGGGUUGAGCCAGCUUUACAAACCCCUGACCGUCAAGUGGACGGCCUGUGAAAGCUGUUAGCCUCCAGACCUGCAAAAAUACUCGGCACACACACACACACAUCUACAGAGGAGGAAAGAGAGAGAGAGAGAAAGAGAGGGAGCAAAGGAGCCCUUUUCUUCUUUACACUGACAAUAAUAAUAGCCAGGGUAAUCUUGUAAAAAGCACUUCAGGACAAUCUGAGAAAAUGUGGCCCAUAGCCCGUGGCUUGUGACUGAAUGUGACCCUGCAGAUGGCAGUGACACAGAUGGAGUUAGAGAGGAAAGUGACUGAAAGCAACCGUAAGCAAGAAUCCACUCAUUCAGUGCCAGUCAAAGCCACAAGAUGGUCCAUUUGCAGCUGUGACAGCCUCAUCCUAUUUCAACUUUGCUCGGAGUGUUUGUUCGAUCUGUCCUUUCUCAUAAAGCUGAUAGAGGGAGAGAGUAAUGAACUUUUAUCCCAUUAGCUUCCCUGGCAUCAUUCUCCUGCCCUCAGCAGUCAUAGCAAUGAAACAUAUUGGAGCUGAGGACAGCAGGGACACACACAAACACACACACAAACAAACACACAUUUGACUACAACAACUGAUUCCCACCCUGACUUAAGGGCACCAAAUCUCCCCAAACUCAAAAUCAAUGUACAGGCAUGUUUAAUUUAAAGGCAUGCAGGCAAAUUAAACAUCUGCACAAAUACAUGUACGCACACACACACACACACAGACACACGGAGACACACACACACACACACACACCAAGGGGAGCCCAGGGUCAGACAGGACUGAUUGUCUCUUCCAGUCGCUCCAGAGAGCAUAUUGAUUUUUCCCACACUCCUCUUUCUACACACCUCCCUCUCACUCACUCGCCUCCUCGAUUCCUCUCUUUCUCUGCGAAAGACCCGUCAUAUUUUUUCUCUCCCUCCUUUCUCUGCCCUGUUGUCCUUUCCUCGGACCUCACUUUUUCUUUCUGAACUCUUCUCUCACUGUCACUCCUCCCACUCUCUCCAGUUCUCCAUCUACCCCCCACCCCCCAACCUUUACACUUUGUUUUUCUGCGGUGUUUCAGUCUCUUCCUGUGGACUCCUCUCAAGUGUUGAACAGGACUGACCCUUAUUCCUCCUCUGGGGAUUCGGAAACUCACUUUGAUUCCUAUAGACAGUGUUACAAUAAAACACAUCUCCAGGGUGUUUUGGAUACGUGUGUGACAGCUGUAAGUUGGUCCCCAAAAACUCAAACAACAUCAGUUACACCAAGAAUCAGGAUCUUGUUUUUUUCUUUUGUCAAAUCUGCAUUUUGGUGCAAUUUCUUCCUAUUUAUGGACCCUUAGUUGCAAGUUGGUCACAAGGGAAUGACUUGAACAUUUAUUUUUCUUCUUUUUUUUUAUCAUGUAACCUGUAUACUUGAAAACAAAUCAAAAGAAAAUCAGUUUUUAGGGUUCAUAUAAACUGGGUAGAGGCUCAUUUUGACUUAAUAAUUACAGUAAAACUGAGACCCAUCCAUCCAUUUUCUACCGCUUAUUCCUGUUUGGGGGUCGCGGGGGGGCUGGAGCCUAUCCCAGCAUCUUCGGACGAAGGCAGGGGACAUCCUGGACAAGUCGCAAGUUCACAGCAGGGCUGACAUAUAGAGACGAACAACCAUCCACGCUCACAUUCACAUCCACGGGCAAUUUGAAAUUGGCCAAUUAACCUAACCCCACUUCUGCAUGUUUUUGGGAUGUGGGAGGAAACCAGAGUAUCUGGAGUAAACCCACGCAGACAAAGCUGAGACCCACUCGACACAAAUGAAAAGGCGCCUCCUUGGGAGAUGCAAAAAAACAGGAAAUGAUGGCGUUCACUUUGUAGUUGUUUUUGGCGGAGCGAAUCUUGUGUCACUUUUGAUCAGUACACUUGAACAGCAAAGACGGUCUUCUGACUAACUAUUGGUCGGAAUCAUAGACUGAAUAUACUAUGAACAACUUGGUUCCGCCUUCUGCAGUAUAGUAUUUGAAGCCGAUUUUUCUCCAUUUCCUAAAACCAACAUUGCGCAGUAGCAUUGUACACAUUCAGUGGGAGAGUCGCUGAGAGUCGCUGUGAUGACGCUCGGCUCAAACAGCAUAUCCCCCGGGUGAGCUGCUCAAUCUGCAUACGCCCAUAGGCUGAAUCAAGUGUCAAUCAUAGAAAACAUGAACCCCCUAAUAAAUUCUAAAAAUGGAGCUUCACAGAAAAAAGAGGACUUGGGCACAAACCAGUCUAACAGUAACUACAUGUCAACAUCGCAAACAGGGGAGAGAAAUUUAUAGUCUGUGUAAUAAAUUUCUAAAGUUUGUCCACAGCUCCAUAGGGAUUGCUGGAGGAGUCGGGAUUUAUGACCUAUACUGCAGCCCGUCACCAGAGGGUGCUGUUCUCUGAGUGGCUUCAUCCAGCAAAGAGGCAGACAGCUUCCAAUCUAUAUACAGUCUAUGGUUGGAAUCCCUUGUCAAGCUGGUCAUCAUCCCCAGAGGCAUUUAUAAUACAGAAAAUAUCUAUUCAUUGAUUCAAUAUCAAAUUAAAGAAAAGAAAUACAAACAAACUAUGUUCAACAAAGACUUAUCGAAUAGAAAAUAGAAUCAGAUAUAUCUACACCAUCAAAGCCAGAUUUCCAAGCUGCCUUUCAGAGUGUAGGAACCUCAGAUGAUUUACCUACCCUCCUUAUACUCCUCUUUCACUGAAGCUGCAGGACUCCCCACAUCAUUCCUCUGAUCUGACACAAAGCAGCCCUUUUCCAUAAAGCCCCAUCUGCAACAAGAGCCCCGCUCUUGUCAGGGAAUCAUAUACUGUGUCAGUAUUUAAGAGCCAUUUCUUCAGCGCAGCUUAUGGGUCGCUAUAACUCAUUCACUAACUUCUCCUGCUGCAGCACCGCUCUCAUCAAGCUGGGGCUUUAUUUCAUCAUGUUUGUUACACCUGGCUCUCUUUUUUUUCCUGCGCUUGUUAGCUUUUUUUUUUUAUUCUUGACGAAAAAAAGUCUGAGCAAAUUCUCAGACAAAUUCCUGGAUUAUGCACAGGAUGAUAAACAGAUGACAAUAUCUCAAGCAUGGACGCCGUUGCCGACAAAUGUGCAUAAGUGAAUAUGGGAGUGUGUCAGGAUGCAGUGUUUUAUGGCCCAAGUUAUUAAAUCCAUGAGGCUUUUUCAAUAGAGGAGGAGAGAAAAGAGAGGAGAACAUGCUCUUUUUUUUCUUUUUUCUUCAAUUCAGAAAAGAAGAAAAGAAAAAAGUAAAGAGGAGAAAAGCAGGAUUAUAUUUUCUUUAACCUAUAACCUGUUCAGUCUUUGCUUACUCUUGCUCUCUGUCCUGCAUCUUGCCUUGAUUUGGAGGAGAACAUCACAAAUAGGAAAUAUUCAAUCUCUCUCCUAAUCCCAAUGAGGGUUUCAGAUAUAGCUUCAGACAGAUGUUGAAUCUGUUGUCACAACAGUGCCACCCGAUCUGCAAACUCCGCACAAGGCACAAUAAGUUUCACACACAUGUUUAUCUUGUACUUACGGGCUAUUUUAGGGUUAUGGCGGUUGAGUUGUUUUGGUUCACAUCCACGGAAAAGCCGCAGUCAGUGCUUAAACAUACAAACGCUGAGGGAUGAUUGUGUAAAGGGAUUAGAGUGGCGGAGACUCUAUUGUUGCGCCAUGUGAGGAAAUAUGCUAUGACUAUCAUGUCUGGUCGGAUACUCUGUCAUCUUAUUGCUUAACACACAUUUGACCUGAUAUUAUAUAGAAACUGAAGGUACAAAAAAAGCCGACUAAACAUAAGUUUAAAUGUUUUUUUAAAAAGGUGCCAGAUUUGUCAUUUUAUGUAAUAAUUGAUCAAGAGUACCUUAAAGUUACUUCAAUUGAGCUAAAGACAAAGUUGUAUUAGGAAGUUGUGGUUCACUCUAUUUGACGCCUGUCUCUUUAUGUAUAAUGCGUUACUAUCAUGUUAUAGCACUGUAUAACUGUAGUUAUAAACAUUCAUAAAUGAUCAUAAUGCUUUAUAGCAAUAAUCAUAACACAUUAUGAAGCAUUUAUCAUGACUUACAAGGUCAGGUAUUAUAAUGUGUUAUAACUGUUAACUACUCACUGACAACGCCCACAUAGAUAAUGCAAUAUACAUAUAUUUAUUAUGUGUUAUCAUUUUCUUAUAAACUAUAACUAUCAUUAUAAACACUCAUUAAUCAUCAUAAGGCUUUAUAACAAUAGGAAUAACACACUAUAAUACCUGACCUUGUAAGUCAUGAUAAAUGCUUUGUAAUGUGUUAUGAUUAUUGCUAUAAAGCAUUAUGAUCAUUUAUGAGUGUUUAUAACUAUAGUUAUACAGUGCUAUAAUGUGAUUAUAACACAUUAUACAUAUAUUUAUAAUGCGUUAUAGAGAGAGGCAUCAAAUAAAGUGUAACUGAAGUUUUACAAGUAAUUUUUUUAUAUAUUUGUUUCUCUUUUUUUUCAUUCAGGUAACAUGAGCUGAUUGAUUAUCCGUCUCAAUCAGAGGCUCUGUGAAGGCAGACACACCUUUCCGCUGCAGCAGCAACAGAGGAGGAGCAGAGGUUUUCCGACGUACCGCUCUCUUCACUGGAUCCUUUCUACCUUCUCAGCAUCUCCCCGGGCCUCCCUCUGCAACAGGGUGUGUGAGCCAGACAACACAGCUUAUAGUCCCAUCAUAACAAAAGGUAACCAGCGACCUACACACCUCAGGGCCUCAAUCCAGUUUCCAUACACCCCAACACACGCUGACAGAGGGAGUGGAUGGAAUCUCAGUCAAAGGGAGGAGUUUCUUUUUUUUUAAUGUUACUGUUUGUGUGUUUUGGUGUGGCACUGUGUGUUCAUCCCACUAAAUGUGAGUGUGUGUGUGUGUGUGUACCGGUGCAGCUGUGUAACCAGCCCCUGUGUUGACAGUGCCAGUUCAAACACAAACAUCAUUGAGUUUUAAUAAUGUGAUUAUCUGACUACACAAACGAGAUGGAUCUGAUGCAGCAGAUUUGAUUACUGAGGUUAAUUAAUACAAAGAUGUAAUAGAGCGUUUGAUAUGCUGUCUGUGUGUCUGUCUGCUUCACUGUGUGUCUGCGCAUUGAUGAAUAUUUGCAAGAUGUGUGUGUGCGCGUGUGUGUUUGUGUGAAGCUUUUAGCCGCAUGUGUCUCAGUAGCAGCUGUCCAGAGGCCAGGUGGCUGAACUGACCCAAGACACACACACACACACACACACUCACACACACUCACCCUGACCCUCACACCUUCAGCUUUACUGCAUGGCCAUAAACCAAAGAUAACACAAACAGCUCCUAAAUCAACAGAGCAGAUUGAGCAGCACCAACAUCGCAGCCGUCAGACAGAUUCACUUCUCAUUAGCAGCUCUGCAGCUCUGCUAACCCGCCAAAUUCAGCAUCCAUGAAGAUCUCAUGUUGUCAUGGUUAUAGAAGAAACACAUAAAUAAACUUUAAACCUUUUUUCUCCAUAAUGACAGCAUGCCUCUGUUGUUACGUGAAAGAAGCUGCAUAUAGUUUGAGGUUUGGGGUCUUGCUUUGUUUUUCUUUCUUAAACGUUGGAAAGUCUUUAAAAUAUUAUUGUGGGAUAUUUAAUCUUGUGUGGGUGAGGCAAAAAUAUUCACUCGUUUAUUAUUUUACAACAAACCAAGACUCUAUAAUUUAAAACUAGGACUUGGGUUAAUGACAGUUUAGCUAAAAUUGUGUUAAAUCACUAAGUAAAGUCGGAGUAUAGUGAAACUGUAGUGAAUCUGAGAAAUCUAGUUUGUCUAGUUGCACCUGCCUAUAUUAACAAUGCUAAUGUCAUGUCAUGUCACUUCCUGAG
Xyrichtys novacula (pearly razorfish) is the source of this 78324-nucleotide non-coding RNA. NCBI's taxonomy places the organism in Eukaryota, Metazoa, Chordata, Actinopteri, Labriformes, Labridae. The record is from the annotation of a GenBank genome assembly.